GACGAUCGGCUCCUUAGACUUGAUCUACACUAUUGAAGUAUUUGAAAACUAAAUUUCAGAUUUUUUUGACAUCAUUUGACUAGUGAUCAAAAGAUCUCAAAAUUGACAAUUUUAAUGGCCGAUGUGGUGUGUUUGUGAGUUUAACGGUGUAAAACAAUCCAAAUGCGAUGAAAAUUUUAUAGAAAAUUAUUUUCACUAUUUAGAGUAAGAUCAGCAUAUCUGAUCUUGAAUUUAAAUCUUUUAUCAUCAUUUUUUAUAAGAUUUUUAUUUUCAGCCGUUCAAUUUUAAACUACUUGUUUAAUAGGUAAAUGAUAUCGAAAAAUUAUGAAAUUUAGUUUCUAAAUAUUUUCAAUAGUGUAGAUCAAGUUUAACGGAACAGAUCGUCGAUUUGGAAACCGCAUCAUCGAAAACAACUUGGUAGCACGGAGCGCUCCGUGCUAUCGAUAGUAUAGUAGCCUAGUUCUAUAUAUAUAUAUAACAACAUAGGAGGGAAUGAUAAAUUGGAAGCAAGUAAGCUACUUAUUCAAAAAAUAAUAAAAAUAAUUUGAAGGCGAACUUUCUUCUACAUUUACCAAUUUUUUGUAAAAAAAUUAUCAUUCUAUAUAAUCAGAGUAUAAUACAAACUAACCAAUCAUGAUAAAAAAAAAAAAAAAUUUUGCCAGCAUAUUAAAUUUUUCAUAAUUAAUAUUAAAAGAAUAAAAGAAAAUAACUAUACCAAACAAGACUUUGCGGAUUGAUUAUUUUAAAUGUACAGUAUUAUAUUUAACCAAUAAAACAUUCGUUAUAGACCAAUUAAAGUAGUUCACAUCAUAUAUAAUUUUUUAAAAUAGAAGUAUUAAUAAAUCAGAGUCAUCUUCAUUAUAUACUACAAUAUAUCGACAAUAAAAUAAUAUUUUUGAAAAUUUAUAGUAAAAUUAUACCAGAUUUUAUGAUAUUUAGAUGACGCUGCUUAAAAAUUCCUUUUUCUUUUGUACCCCUAACUUUUAAAACCACUUCAUUGCCAAAUAAUAAAUUUUUAAAAUUUAUAAUCUUAUAUACGCAAAUUUUUAGACAGUUUGAAUUACACCUGUUCAACGAGACAUGUUCAAAAAAAUAAGAAAAAACUUCAAAUACCACUCAUAUGGUUUCACACUUUCUUAUUUUAGUACUCUAUGGUUUAAAGUGUAUCAAUUUGGUAUCAUAUAGUUUCAUUUUUAUCUUUUUAUUAUUAAUUUCACUAAUUUUUUCGUUAAAUUAGUGACAAAAUUAAACCUAAAGAGUACUAAAGUGAAUAUUUGAUAAACCUAUAUAUGAUAUCUAAAGUUUUUUGUAUAUAAUUUAACGAAAUAUUAACGAAAAAAUUGAUGAAAAGAUAAAAAUAAAACCACAGAACACUAAAUUGAUACAUUUUAAAUCACAGAGUAAUAAAGUAAGAAAGUGUAAAAUUACCGUGUGUAUUUAAAGUUUACCCAAAAAAACAAAGGUGUGGUGUAGGAGAUGUACGGAUACACCGCGUUGAGGUCGGAGAGUUGUCGUGAACCGAACGAAGCCAAAAGUCCACGUACGCAAUGAUUAACUCCAUCGCAGCCGUCCGUUUCGUUGACCGUAGGCUUCAGUGGACGCUCACUUGGCCGUUAAACCCGCCUAUGUGAAGUGGUUCGAUUGGUUUUCAUCUUGUGGCUCGAGAGAGUGUUAAGUGGCUUUAGACUUUUCCAUUAUUUUUAAGAUUACAUUUUUUUUUUUUUUAAUCUAGUAUGUACCCAUGCGGAAUUUAUUGUCUCCACUUACUGGUUCACUAUAUUAUCCAUAUUAUUGUCCUUUUAUAGCUUGUGUUUUUUAUUCUACUUAUUUUUGAAUUAAAUUUAAUACUGUUAAAUAUCAUAUAAAAAUUUAAAAAAUAAUAAGAUUAGAAUUUACUGGUCGAUUUCGUUCGAUCCAAUCGUGUUUAUUUGAUAUAUAGGAAUUGAACUACCUCACUAGAUGAAUAGCUAGAGCACGGUGUACGGGAUAAUCUGGCGCACCAAGUCCAAGCAACAGUUUCCGCAGGACAAGGCCAAACUUUUGGAUUUAAAAAUGGUCGUCGAGAAUAAUAAUUCUAUAUUAAUUCUCGGACUGUUUGUGGGAGUCACUAACUCAUCGUAUUUAAUUAAGCCUUUGCAAUAUUUCAACAUGCUAUAAUUCAUUUUUAUACAUUAAUUUACAGUAAUAAUUAUUAUAAUGCCACAAGAGGGAUAGGACUCGUAAAUAUUGCAAUGGUACCAAACCAUCAACGCGUAGUUUUUAUUUGACCAGAAUAUUAACCUUACACAACAUGAAGAUGAUUAUUUCAAACUUUAUAACUCUUUUCUUUUCUUUUUUUAUUUGGCAUUGAUGUGUAGCUUUUAUUGGAAGUGGUCUUCUAUGUGCUAGCUAGCUAGCUCAAUGGCAACGACAUCGUACAUCAAUUUAAUACAUUAUGUUAUAUAUGUUUUACUUUUUAAGUCAUAAAUAGAACGUUUGAAUCUAAUGACAUAAAAUAUAACGUAAGAGGCAAUGCAUUAGGGCUCGUUCGAACAAUCAGGCAUUUGGUUGCGCAGUCGAAGUCGGAAAUUCACCCUAACGUCGUGUAUGGAUUAUGAUCAAGCUGAGACUGUGGUUCGCUGAACUCAACAUUGAUCGAUAAACCUGCACGAGCUCGAGUCGAACAACUCCUUAGCCGAACUAGUAUCUACUAAUUCUUACUUGCUCUGUUGUUUUUAUUUACUUGUUCUCUUUUUCUACGGUUUUUCUAUUUCGUCAUGGAAUUUUUUGCAACUUUACCUGUUCUAGACCGUUUCUGACGUACACGCUGAACUUCACCCAUUCUAGACCGUUUCUGACGUGCACACUGAGCCUCUCUGAGUUCCACAAUUUAAGAGCUAUUUAUUAUUAGCUGUUCAAUUCCAUGUGAUGGAUCUCAAUCAAUUAAAAAGCUGUAUACGUGUGUACGUAAUUCUCCAAGCUGGACAAUGCCUAGAAUUUAAGUUUCUACUUUUUGCUUUUUGAAUCUGAGAACUGAAAAUUUGCAGUCAAAUUAGUUGAAAGUGAAGUUAGGAAUAAAAACCCCUCAACCACUAUUGACAUUUUCAAAAACUACUGUAUUUUAAAUUUGCAAUACUCUUAUAGAGUAGUAUGCAGAUUUUAUUCAAUUAAUUUAGCUGAUGAAGCUGCGAGUUUCGUGUAAAAUAAAUGACUUCCCAAAUUAUUUGAUGAAAAAUUGAAAUGGACAUAAUUUUCUAAAUGAACAAAUAGCCUUCAUCAUGGGCCAAUUCAGUUCCAGUAACCUAAUUAAUCUCUUUGAAUUGUAUUAAAAAACAAUAGAUGAUCAAAAUGUUCAUAUCUACUUCUAUGAUUUUAAUAAAUUAAUAAUAAACUUGGCCAGUGACCUUUUAAAGAACGAGUCAAUUAGUUAUACUUAACACCAUACCUGGGUUUUAAAAAAAAUGAUAUAUAGGACACAUACAACAAAUUGAUAUUUUUUUAAUUUAAGAGACUACUAAUUAAUUAUAAAAGUUGAGCCUCAAGUACACUAAACCUGGCUUUGAAAACAUUAAACAUCGUUAUCGAUUAAUUAUAUGAUAGAAUAAAAGUUAAUAAUAGGUGCAUUAAAGACGAAGCCGGCCGAGUAGGUCAAAACUAGAUAGCUACAACUGAGAGUAAAAAAAAAAAAAAAAAAAGUUGCAACUUCGUCAAACAUGUUCAAGGUUUUCAAGGUCUAAGUUUUUGAUUGAUAUUUUGGACGGAUAUAUUAAUGGAACCAAUAAUAGGUCCCUAAAAUGAGGAUCUUAGCAUGCGUUUGAUCUAAUUUUUACUUCUAGUAUAAAUUAUAGCUGACUUUAAUAUAUACAAUCGCAAAUAGAAGUUUCUAGAUGUCCUUCAAUGACGAAAAAUUGAAAUAAGAAUUUAACCCACAUAUACAAAUGUAAAAACUUGGAGCUUCCAAAUAGAGGCUUUAAUUUUGAACUUCUGAUUCAUGCUCACAGAGAACAACACGUUCCACUAAUAAUAGUUCUUAAACAAUAUUUUACCGAAUAGCUCCAAACAUGCAUGCACUUAAUCGUCCACUUAUUAACAAGUUUAGCAUAAUCAAAUCCUUAUUAAGUUGAAAGGGCCAAAGAGAAGUUCGUUUGACAUAGCAGCUAUAUAUGGUCCUUCUUUCAUGGGAUUUUCAUAGCAUUUUAAAUUCAUAAUUCCAUGCUGGCAUUAUCCAAGAUUGAGUAAAAACAACAAAGACUACAUCAAAUAUAUAUAUAUAUAUAUACCCUACCUAUCAGGCUAUCACACACACAACCCCUCUAAAAUUUUAUUGCUUCAACAACACUUCACACUACCACCAGUCACAGGUCCAAACUACACAUUGCAAGAAACCGAAACUUCGAAGACUACGCAUGUUUGAGAUCGCGCGUGUCUGUGUCGUAUCGUGUCAUGUUGCGUUGAGAGAGAGAGAGAGAGAGAGAGCUGGAUUAAAGGGAGUUGUCCCACGCGGUCCAGUUUGCGGCGCUGCCGACUCGCGGCAUGGAGUUGACCUUAGAGUAUGUGUCGACCUUGAAAUUGGCGCCGCACAUCACGCCCUCGCUGUCGACCCUCGGCAUCGCCUUCAUCCGGUUCAUCGGGUGCUCGAAGCUCUUCAACCCGAACUCGCUGUGGAACAUGCACCCUGAUCCAACCAAAUCCCCAGGAUGAUGAGUUAGGACCGAUGAAGCCACAAUAUAUAUGAAUCCAACAGUGUUCUAGACCAUUUGAUGCCCAAAUGGAAGGACAAGAGAAGCAUUGCUAAUUAUGAAGUGAGCCCAUAGUUUAGUUAUAUAAUCAUGUUGUUUUACCCUACCACGGAAUCAAACAAUUCAGAUUACCAUAACACAACCUGCGUCUCGCUCAUCUUAAGUCGAGUUGUGGUGCUUUUGAUCAGGUUAUUCUAGAUUCAGAAUGUUUGGAUCAACUCGGAUACAACGGAAUUUAUAAUCAAAUUAAGUACACACAAUAUAUAUAAAUUUUAUUUCAAGUUUGUCGAAUCAAAUUACGUCGUGUUGGAUCGGACUUUUGUAGCCCAGCCCAAGUAAGGAAUGGGUUGUGGUGGCCCAACCAAAUUCGAGUACCAAACCCACAAAUCAAAACCCAAUUGGAGCAUCACCACUAUUAUGGGGCCACAUUUCCGAUGACAAUUACUUUAUAUUACAUGGCAUCAGAGCAUAAGGUCCUCAGUUUUAUAAUCCGAAUUCAAAAAAACACUUUUUUUGAAAUACUCACCAGUCGGAAAAGGGGCGUAGGACUUGCUGCAGCUGCCCUUUAUGAUGUCGCGGUCGUCGCAGAUCACCACCGACCCGUCGGCGGCAAUUCCCCAGUACAGCGGCACCCUUCCGUCCGAGCUCUGCAUCGUUUCAUUUUUCACAACACAAAACAAAAUGUACAUUUAGGCGCCAAUAUCUAAACUCAAAAAUUGUAGAAAAUUUUGGAAAAUUAAAUAUUUAAGACUUUGUAAGCAGCUAGACAAAAGCAAGAAAAAGAAUGUACCAGUGCGGCGAAGACGGUGCCGGCCUUGUUGUCGUAGACGACGAAGGCAAAGGAGCCGGAGAGGUCCUUCACGACCUGGUCGGCGGGGUAGGGCCCGCGGUCGCGCAGGGUGCGGUACGCCUCGAUGACGAGCAGCGCCUCGUUCGUCGACUUGCCGGACAGGCCGUACUGCCGGAUCAGGCUGCUCAGAUUGUGCAGGCUGCCCACGAACAUGCAGUAUAUCUCGUCGAAGCAGCAGAACAGUCUGUUUUUUUUAAAAAAAAAAAUUUGCCACAAUCUCAGUCUACACUCCACAUAUCUUAAAUUUAUGCUUGAUGAUGCUAACAUUAAUAUAGUUGCAUUUGAAGAGAGUUUAAAUUUACAAAUACUAAGGGCAUAUUUAAUUCAUAAUUAGAAUAUGAAUGAAAAAUAAAAUCGGAUUGCUUUGGAAUGAAAAAUAGAAUAAUGAAUCAUCUAAAAUAUUUGGUUCGUUAUUGAAAUAAAAAUCAAAUAAAAAUUCAGAAUUUUUUAAAGAGAAUUUUAAUUAAGAGAGAGAAAAAUGAUGAAGGGAGAGAAAGUAGGUGUUGGUGAAAGAGAAUUUGAAUGAUUUAUAUUGAAAUGGAUCAAUUCGGAAUUCAAGAUCGGAUUGGAUCAUAAAUGAAUUUGUUCAUUUCCAUUCUGAAGUGAAAUGAAAAUCGAAAUUCGAUUUCUAUAAAACAAAUAACAACUAUCAAAAUUAAUAAAUUUUAUUUUAAUUUCAUAGUUCAAAAUAGAUGAACUAAAGUUUUGUCCUAAAGGUUCACACGAGAGUCACGUGACAACAAAUGUUGCAGGAAUUAAUCAAAUUAGGACUUAGGAAGUACAUCUAGUUAUGAUUGGGAAUUUUAGGUAAUAAUGUUUAAGGUAAUGAUAUUGAACCUGCUAAAAUUAAAGCAUAUUCAGUGCUCACUCAACCAAAUCAUGCCAAUUAUGUUUGCGGGGUUUUAGAAAAAAAGAUGGGAUCCUUUUAUUUAAAGUAUAUAUUAUCAUAUUAUAAUAUAUAUAUAUAUAUAUAUAUAUAUAUGUUUACACCCAAAAUAUAAAAAAUAUUAAUUUUUAACGCGAUAAAUUUUAUACGAUUAAUUUUACGUGAUAUCUACAAUCUAACAUCAGCUCGCUUUUAAAACACAACAGCUUCAUCAUAAAUUCUUCGAAAAAAAAAGAAAGAAAAUAGUAAAUUUGAGAUGGUCCUAUGAAAAUUUGUGAUUAUUUGCACUUAUCUUAUAAGAGGAGGAUGAUUCCUAAAAAAAGCACAAUUUUUUAAAAAAAUUAUAAAAUCUACUGACUCUUACAGUUUUCUUUUUUUUUUUGGAAAAUUUUUUUUCAUAAAAUAUGUAAAAAAAUAAUUCACGGCAGAAAAAAAAAAUCAAACAGACAAAAAAUAUUUUUCUGGCAAGAGAAAUGUGUAAUUAUUUUUUACAAAAACAAACAACUCCUAAACAAUUGGAUGCAUAUAAAUUAGGGAUAAUAUUUAAUAUGUUCUUGAAAAUUUUAAAAAUAAUUUAUUCAUUCACAAAAGAAUAAAUUUAAAAUUUUUGAAUAGCACUAAGCGAUAAAUAAACAAAAGCUUCUAUAAGGAUUAAACUACUGGUCGGCAUGAAUCGUAUUUACCAUGCUAAAAAGAUAUCUAUAUAAUACAGCUUCCGUGCCGAUUGCAGAAUUCAAAAUUCUCUAUUUUUAAAGUUAAUAAAUAAUUUUUUAAUAAAAUUAAAAAAAUUAAUUAAAAAUAUAUAAUAAAUAAUUUAUAUAUUUUAUUGUUAAAAUACUAAAUAUUUUAUUAUAUUAUAUGUCGGCACAUAUAUAUAUAUACUUAUUGUGAUCAGCAAUGUACCGUAUAGUAUCGUGCCAGCAAAUUUUCAGCAUGAUUUCGUGUCAUGGUAUUUAAAUUUUUCCUGAUAAAUUAUAUUUACCUCUGGUGGGUGGAGGAGCUGCGGCCGCAGGGGCCGACGCAGGCGAGGGCGGCGCCGCCGCCGAAGGUGGCGGAGAAUGAGUCGGGCCUGCCGGACGGGAUAUUCGCCGCGUCGGCGGCUGGGCUGUUCAGCUCCUGAGGAGGGUGCGCAAACUGCUUGUGGAAUACAGCCAGCAUCUUCUAUACCUUUUUUUUUUAUAGAUGAUAAUUCUGUGCGCGCAAAUGCAAUAUCGACGGAUACAGAAAUAUUAUGAAAAACAAUUGGGAUGGAUAGAGGUGAUAUGAUGGAUGGGGAUGGAAGGUAUUUAUAGUGUGGAUAAUGUUGUGGUAAUUAAAAGGAAAUGGUAGUGUGUAUCAGUGUAUGUGUGUGGGCGACACUUUUUUUUAUUAUUUUUUAUUUUUACUUUAUGCUGUUGCUGCUGCACAUGACAAAUGGAUAUGGAGAUGGUGGAUAAGGAUCUACGAUUUUCCGCAACAAAACCUGGUUCCUGUCACCAAACGGUUAACUUACCUUUUGCAUUGGCUGUUCAAUUAGUCACAUAAAAAACAAUAUAUAUAUAUAUAUAUAUAUAUAUAUAUAUAUCAGAAAAAUACAGUCACAAUUUCAACCUACUUGAUUUGGAAUAGAUUGGAUGGAUGAAAUAGCAUUUUUUAAGAAAAUAAAUUAUAAUUUCGUCAUAUUUAAGUUGUACCGUACUUUUUGGUUGCCUUUUUGAUUUUGUAUUGUUUGUGAUGCUGACAAUAAUAAGCAACAUAACAAAAAAAACAUAAAAUAUAUAUAUAUAUAUAUAUUAUAUUAUAUAUUAUAUAUAAUAUAUACUAUAUAUAUAUAUAUUUAAUUUUUUAUAUAUAUAAAUUAUAGUAUUAUUUGAAGCUACAUUCUAAAUAAAUUUUACUGCGGCCAAAAAUUUAUAAAAAAUAAGUUUGUGGAUGUUCUUUUAAAUUCUGAAAUCUAUUCCCUACCAUAACCAAAAAAAAAAAACACAAAUUAAAAUUAAUAUAAUAUAUUUUUUAAUAAUUAUACAAAAAAAAAAAGAGAAAAUUGUGAGGGCGCUUCACCUCCCCGGGGCGGUGGGGAUAAGCAUGGUAGGUAAGGCUCGGGAGCGACGAAGUCGUUUGGAGCUUAUCCGGUGACGGUGAUCCACGUCAGCGCCAUCACCCCGCUGAAACGCUUGUGCUCAAUCCUCGGCAAAUGCCACGUCACCUCCGACACCCUACUUGUCCACCGUGGACAGCGCCUGUUGCGGGCCCCACGGGUGCUAUCCCUGGAAAACAACACUUUGCCAAAAAGAAAAAAAAAAAGAAAGGUCUAGAACAGUUAUGUUGCUGAUACGGUGGUUUCAACUACUACUUUUUUAUAUUUAUCUGUUAUAUUAUAAUUUAAAAUUUUAUUUUAUAUCUUAGAAAAAGAAGAUAUGUGAUUGUUUCGAUAUAGGUGAUAUGGUGCUCUGCUCUCCAACUACGUCUUGUUAAGCAACUUCAGUUCGUCGUCAUGUGUUACUUUUAUUUCUAUAAUCUUUCUAAAAUUUAAUUUUUUUAAUAUUUUAGUGCUAUAAUAAUUUAACGAAUUAUCGGAUGGCGGUAAAAACUAACAAAUGGCAACAAAUCACUUCUUUGGAGAGUUUUUCGAUAAAAUUUUAUUUUGUUAUGACAACAAUGCUACAUCAAAAAUAAAAUAAAAUAAAAUAAAACUGUAGUAUCAUAUCAUCUAUAUCCUCAGCUACCGUUUGGUUGGGAGUUAAGGGGUGGAAUAACCCCUUAACCCCCAAUUUAUACCCAAACACCACUCUUAAGGGGUGGGGUUAGUAAACCCCACCCCAAACCGGGUUAGUGGGGUUUACUAACCCCACUCUCCCUCCCAACUUUAACCCCGCACGCAUCCCGAGCCCUUACCUUUUUCUUCUUUAUCAAUCAUUAUUUUCUUAUCCCACCUACUCUAACCAAAUAUUUUUUUUCACUAUCCUAGGCUAACUCCAACCUCCAGCCAAACACAAAAAAAUUUUAACACCAUUUUAACCCUGAACUUAAUCCUAUCCCUGGAAUAGCUAUUUUUUCUUAACCCCGAACCAAACGGUGGCUCAAUAAAUAAAAUUUGUUUCUCAAAUUCAUCCAUCAUAUCAUAAUUUUUUUAACUAAAUUAUGAUACUUUCCUUUAAAAACAUAUCUGGUCUGCUUGAAGCACGGUGACACGAUACCACUACUAGUAGAAAACAAUCUCCUACUUCAGGGCCUGCAUUUUAGAUUGUAUACUUAAAUAUCUCUCUUUUAAGUAAUGGACCUGCAAUUAAUAAAAUUGACCAAAAUUUCUUAUCAAUUCAUUUUUUGAUAUAUAUAUAUAUAUAUAUAUAUAUAUAUAUAAUUUUGUUACUAUAUAUCAAUAAUAUCAAAUGCUUGGUACUAUUGAAGUUUCAACCGUUGGAUGAAAUGAUGUGCAGUUAGGAUGAUAGUGAUAUUCGAUUAAGUUAAUAAUGGUUCAUUAGGGUUGAGUGAGUGGUUGAUUGAAUAAUAUAAUUAAUCUAACAAAUAAAAAUGAUCAAAAAAUAAAUCUAACGGCAGAAAACUCGAUAGUGCCAAGAGCUUGAUACUAUCGAUAGUAAUAGUACUUAACUCCGCUCUCUCUCAUCCUCUCGAUAUCUCCUUCUCUCUCGCUCUCUCUCAUGCUCUCCUAUAAAUAUAUAUAUAUAUAUAUAUAUAUAUAUAUAUAUGCUACUUAGAUGUAUAGAGAGUUUCUCAAUAAAGACUCGUCCAAAACCUCUCCACUUAAGUUUAUAUCUUUUCUCAUCUAACCAAAAGUGAGUGUGCACCUUACAUCCUUGGUAUUUACGAUUCAAUUAUUUUUUUAAAAAACAAUAAUACUCUCUAUACAUCUUAUAAAUAGUUAAAAAUUUUACACUUAUAGUAUGUGAUCAAUAUUUAUUAAGAGGUUGUAAAAAAAGUCUCUAAUACCAUUCUAUUCCGUGACAAUAUGUACAGAAGACUAAUUAGUUGAGUUGGAUGAGUAUAAUAAGAUGAGUAGAGGUGUGGUCCAUAAGCAAUAAUAGAUCCAAUAUUCAGAUAGGUUGAGUCAGAUCAAAGUUGACGAGUGCUGUGGUUGAACCUUUAAAUGCGAUGGAUAUGCCUUUAUAAUCAGUACAUAUUUUUUGAAUAACUAAUUAGCACUUAUGAUCCAUUAUAUUAACCUACUUAUCUCUUCUUUUUUUUUUACCUAAAACUUCAAAAAGAAAUUGUACCAAUUAUUGGAUCUAACGGACGUUGCAUGUUUAUUUCUACAAAUUAAGGAUGUACAUAUAACAUCUUUUUAAAAAAGCUAUAUGUAUACCUAUAUAUAUAUUUAUACCUUAACUUAUUUAUUCUAGAAUUACAAGUUUUCUAAAAUUUGUAUUAGAAAAUGUAAUAAAAUUAGUGGAGAUAUGGUAGGCGCUGAACGAGCGACGUGCAUUUGGUGUAAUAUUACUGGUAAAAAUAACUUUGAUAUGGGUAAAAAUAUUUAUGGAAUUUUGUGGCGAUUUAUUAACCAAAGCAAAUUUAAACAAAAUAUAACAAAUAUGAAUAUGAAUAAUAUAUAAAGGUGCCUACACUAAUUAAGUGUCACUUACCAUAUCAUCAUCACCCUAAUAAAUUGUUAAUAAUGUGGCGGGAUAAGGAUAAGAGAGCCUCGUCCUACACACGUAAGCAUAGCUCGAGAUGGGCAGGGACAGGUUCCCAGAACUUUAAUUAUUAUUAUUAUUAUUAUAUUAAGUAUUAAUUUAUUCCCAUCACCAAACGUGACAGAUGUAGAAUCAGCACCAACUGUCACUUUACGCUGGGGCAACGUGUCUUUAACGAUGUAGAGGACCAAGGACGAGAUACAAAUACUGUACAUAUGUACGUAUUUAUUUAGAGCAGUAUUUGUUGCGCAUUCUUAGAUAUAUAUAGUUUGGUUGGAAAAUAAAUUGCUUUUGAUUAUUUCUGGUUCUGGAAUAAUUUUAUACCCCACUUAUCGUAAGCUUAUUAUUUUUCACUUAUUUUAUUAUUUUUUUAACUGAAUUUUUUAAAAGAAAUUUGUGGUUGUAGAGAGUAUUUUUUUAUUUGUUUAUACGGCGCAGACUUUAACAUUUCUCUUUACUUAGAUAUUUUACUAGUGUUAUGUUAUAGACAUCUUACUGUAUGUAUAUUCACUGCGCGCAAGGGGAUAUUUGGUUUUUUGAAAAAAGCCUAGAAAAUUUUUGUCUAAAAUAAUUUGUGAAAAUAUGCUUUUUUAUUGUUUUCAUUUUUUAGAAUAAAAAAAUAGAAAACGAAAACAAAACUUUUUCAUAAAUUUUGAAAAAAUAAUUUAGAAAAAUCACUUUUUUUAGAAACUAAAAAAUAUAUAUAAAAAAAUAUUUCUAAACAGAAAAUUUUUUUAGGAUAUUUCGCAGGAAGCCAAACACUUGCUUAGAAUCGAGGCUUGAAAUAAUGUGCUCUACCAAACAUAUCUAGCACGGAGUUCACUAAUAACUUGCUGGUUAAUACACGAAUCCUAUCGACUGUCCCUAACGCAAGUAGCAGUUGGUACCCGAGACCCAAAUUCGAAUCCUAGUUGAUUCACAUUUCCAGCUAAGUUUAUUUCUAAAUGAAAUAAAUAAAGUGGGUAGCAUGCUAUCUUCUCUCAAAAAAAAUAUAUGAUCCUAAGUUUUUUUUUGAAAAAAAAUAGCACGUUAUUUGUUUCAUUUAUUAAAAAAAUAAAUUAAGUUAUAGGAGCAAAAUAAGAGACCUCCAAACCGGAACCAAAAAAAAAAGAAAAAGAAUCACACAUAUUAGGGCUAUUAAAAUUAGGGGCUAAGAUUCGUUCACUUAAACAAGCUGAGCCAGCAAUCGUAUGAUUAAGUUGGCAGCUAGAAAAAGGUCAGCAAGAAUCAUCCUAAAAAUAAUGCCGUUCCUUACGGACCAAAUAACCCACUAACUGGCUGUCAAUCCGGUCGGUCUUUUUCACCAAACAGCUCUAAAUUUCAAGUUCAAAACAUUCAUAUUUUUAACUUGAGCUCAUUUCUAAAAAAUAAAUAAGUGCACAGCUAACUACCUUUCUCUCUCACUCUCUCUUCAAAAAAAAAAAAAAAAAAAGAAUUUUCUCUGCACAUUAGAUCUAGUUUUAUGUGUGUGUUUUUUAAAGCACCCACUUUUGAAAGAUGGAAUGCGCUUUCGAAUUUUCUAAUCUUCCAGAGAUGCACUGCUAAACUAGGACUUGGAACUUCUAAUGCAGGCACCUCGGGCGAGCCAAUCUAUAGAUAUAGGUUCUGAGUAGUAAAUACUUGAUCAACAAAUGCGCGUGCACACAUACCAAAAACUAGAGAAUAGUGAAUUAUUAUCCAAGAAGAGUUGAAAACUAGAGGUCUGUGGUUUGAUUCCCAAUUAGUUUUCUCGAGUUCCCAACCUGCUUCUCUAUUUUCUAUACAACACCAGUUCUAGAAAAAGUUCCAAACAGCAUUCCCCAAGUAUUCGAUUUACACAUGAUAACAUGUUUACAAGAGAAGUGUACUACUACGGGGGAAAAAAAACGAAAAAGAAAAAAGAAGAAAAGAAGGGUAGCUGCAUCUUAAUAAUCAAAAUGAAAAAGCAAGCUACCUAAGCACAAAUGGAAGAGGAGCAAUUCAAAGGAUCACCAGCAUGUUUGCAGUAACUUUUGGUAAGGUAGUUUUGAUUCGGAUAAACGUACAACUAGAAAAACAUGGCAAGUGAAGAGGCACAACAUGGAGGCUGCUAGGGUUUUGUUUAAGCCACCGUUACUGCCCCGUAAUCUCCAUUUAGAAACUUGUCUUCAGGAUAAUAUGUCGCGGUAACAACGUUUCCACCAAAUUUCCUUCCGUGAAGAGCCGCCUUUGCCCUAGCGGAGCCUGCGGCAUCCGCAUACUCCAAAAAUACCUGGAUAAACAUAACUAAAUUAGCAGACCCUUUUUCUAUACAUUAUAUGCUAAGAUCUUAGUCAGGUAGCCAAUACAAUGUCUUCUGAGUUGAUAAAAUGAAUAGGAGGGAGAGAAUUUGUGCUUACUUUUCCAAUUCCAGGAAUCAUCUCUCCUGCCGGACUAGGCCGAGGAAUAACAACAUUGACCAAUGCACCUGAAAUGAUUCAAGAAAAGGAAAAAAAACGAGUUAAUAUGGGACACGAAUGUUUUUGUUUCCCAAAAAAAAGGGAAAAAUUCACAUGCAGACAACAAAAUUGUGCACAAAUAGAAAGUGCUCUUACCAAACUUCCCACUCUCCUCUCUCAUAUCUUCUAAUAUCUCUUCAUAUUCUUCAUCAUCUUUCAGUUCAUCCAUAGAGACCACCUUAAAAAUCAUUCAGGGAUGGAGACAAUUAUAUAGUUAGGUAUACUUCUUACAAAGUAUGAAAUAUAGAGAACCUAGCAACCAGAACAGAGACACAAUUGAUACUGAAAACACCAGUAUGCAGAAGUUACCAAGAGGACCGAAACGGCCUUACUACUAUAUCAACAAAUGACACCAAGGGCGUGGUAAUGAUGUGCUUUACUAAUAGUUUAACACAUGAUAAUGCAAAAAUUUUCCCUCCGAAGGUUGAUGUGGAAAAUGGUAAAACAAAUGGGCGCGCUGAAUGUACCUCAGUCAAGCAGACAAUUUUAGUUGGAGGCGCUACAGAAAGCACCACUCCUGAUCCUGGAAAAGGUGGGCUCCCACCGAUCUGUAAAGCUAUUUUCUAUACACAGCAAUAUCUGAUCAGUUUAGAAAAGUGAAAAGAAAAAAAAAACAAAAUGAUGCCCAACAUUCCUUUAGGUGAUUCACACUACCUGCAUAGCUAUCUGUUGUUGCGCCUGUUGCAAAAUCAAUUCUUGCUCCGGUUUGAUGGGACCCAUACUGCAAUGAAAAUUAGUAACAUCGAUAAAAAUAAAAAAGAGUGAACAUGUAUGGGCCCCACCUAGUAAACUAUAAGUAAUUGGGAAACAGGUACCAGUACUUCUAAUGUUGGGUCUUGAACCCUCCGACUAACAUGUAGUUUGAUUUUAGAAAAUUACAUAAGAGCUUACACAUUCUAUGUAACUUUCUUGUUGUGCUACUUAACAGGGUAUUACCUAUUUUGACAAAUGGUCCGCGACUAAUAGAACUUUCUAUUACCCAACGGCCUAGUCUGUUAAGAUCCUUCUGAAGGAAGCCAUUCAAACGGUUUCCCAAAUUUUGUAAAGCCAACAGGUAUGGAGUUUAAAGACCAGUUCCAAAAGAACCAACAGGUAUGAAGUGUCGACAAGUUUUUGCCUAUGUUUAAACAUACACAUGACAUCAGUCACCAAGAGGACAUCUACAGUGAGCAGACAACACGAACCUAGCAGAAGCACGGCGUACAGUAAGUGUUCUGUCACCCAUUUUUAGGCCAUUAAGUGCAGCACAAGCAAUGUCAGUGACCGCUGGAUCCUGAAAAAUCAAGCAGGGUUUCAAAUAAAGAAAACAAGGCAAGAAUGAGGAUGAGAAAAAAGGAUGCCCAUCAAUUAUUAGUGGAUUUAUGUUACCUGAUAGACACAAAAACCAUAACCUUUGGAAUUCCCAGUCUCCCUAUCUUUAACUACGUCAAAUCCACGUAGAGGCCUGUCACAACAGUCAACAUGGAUACAUAAAGCAGGUUGUCAGAAUCAUACUUGACUAGCAAAACAUACGAAGAAACCGGUUGGAUGCGUACCCGAAGGAUUCUAGUAACUCCCGUAUCUGUGAAUCUGUGAAGAAGUGAGGCAGACCACCAACAAAUAUUCGAUCAGGUCCCUCUGAGCCACCACUGAUUGCCCUGAAUAGGAGAUGCAUAGUCAGCUCAUAAAAACCCAAAUACUACCACGAGUCCUAUAUUUGCCUAGACUAAAUACCAUACAGCUGUUCAAUAACAAGCACACAGGGCUUUCAAAAACUAAUGUUUCUGAAAGACAUAGACUUGAAUAUUUUCCCAGCAAGAUGGAUCAUAAUGUACGCACCCCGAUGUUAGGCCAACGGCAGCUAAGUUCAGAUGAGGACUUGGUUGGCUAGGUCCAAGCGUUGCUGCCAAAGAAGGGUUGUAGUCGGUAGGUCUUCGAACUCUCACUGCAACUCCCUAUCAAGAUGUCAAUAGUUAUUACAAAUUUAAUCUAAAGAAAAAAGUUCCAGCAGAAGCUUUCUUAACUAAAGUGACAAGCAACUAUCAGUUAACAUUUUCAGGUAUAUAUUUGCAGGCUUUCUCAAAAUUAUAUGGAUAACGGACAGGAAGUCUUCAAAGAUUUUGAAACAGCUAACAUACAUAAAACUCAUCAUAUCCCAAAUAACAUCUACAGGAACAAUUGAUGGCCACAAAACAGGACUUUGAAAUGAUACUUACCUCAAAUACUAUUCCAUCUAAUGCCAUUGCAUUACUUGCUUCUUCUACUGAUCUCAUUUCAACAAAAGCAAACUUCUUUUCAUGGUUGAUGUACACAUUGACAACAGCAUCACCUGAAACCAACCAUAUCAAUGGUUAGUCUGAACAUAUCUUGACUCCAACUAUCUAUAUCACAUGGAAAAACCAUACAUCAAAUGUUCAAUUUUCAAAUAUUUUUGUUUCAAUCCCGAAAUGCACUGCCUAUUCGGUAUCAAAUAUGGACAGAUAUAAAAAGAAAUAGUAGGUCUGCUUGUGGAACUUCUAGGUAAGAUACUUCUUACUGGCUACAGGCAAAAAAGAAAACAGAAAAGAUAAAAACAGAAGGAAAGGAGAAGGAAAAAGAAAGAAAGAAAGAAAGAAACCUGGUCCAGCAGUGUUUCCUCCAAUAGCAGUCAUGACCUGGCUGAAGAAUGCAGAAAUUGUCUGUUUAGAAGGCAAAAGUAAGAUUUAUUAGCAGUCAUAUUAAAACUAGCAAGUAGAGGCCAUGCUGGCAGUGAAUUAUUCAAUUUAUCAANUAAAAAAAAAAAAAAAAAAAACGUGAUCAGCAGAAGUAACGUGUAGCCAAAAACUAUGACCACCUUAGAACCAAUUAAAGGAGCAACUUCCAACAUAAACAGAGGAAGAAAGCGGGCUUUUUAACUUUUGAUGAUCACAGUUUGCAGGGUCAUCUUGCUAAUUAGUUUCUCUAGCAUGACAUUCAUUAUGAUACUAGAAGAAAUUCAGCCAAUGCACGUGAUUGACUUCAAAGAUUUGAAUACAAAAAUAUGAGUAAAAAUGUAAUAAUAUUUCUAGAAAGACUUGAAUAAUUCUGCUGGCUUUCGUCUAACAAAUGGAGAACUUAAAUAGUAUAGAACUCCUGAUAAUGUGCAGGAAAAAAUCAAAGAAGAUAUAACAAGUUAAUAAUAGACUUGAAUCACAUGUACAAGUGAAUGACAUUAGAAGAGAUAUAAUUUGCUUUUUAAUUCCACUUUUAAUCUGGUGUAGAUAAGCCAAAAGCAACCAAUGAAAACAGAAAUCAACUAGAGACACCACCUGUUCAUUUGACAUGGGUGGAAGGCCUCCAACAUAGACACGCCGUGCAUGCCUCGUUGCCUAAAAGAAAGAGGUGAGGAAAAGUUCAAUGUCCAUUCAUGCCAAAAAGGUUAAAUCAAAAUGUGAACAAGCUUUAGCAUACCUGCUGGUUAAUUGCUUGUGCUGGUAGCAAUGAUAUCGCUGCAAACUGUGAUCGAUAAUAAAGUGCGGCAGAUCAGGCACAGCACAACAAAAAAGUGAAGGGUAUGUACGAAGUGAAAGUAAGUCUUUUUCAGUACCUGUUGAGGUGCUGCAAGAGGUGAGAUAGCUGGAAAAACUCCAGCCACAGUUUGAGGAAUCACAGGAGAUUGUCCUACAAAAUGGAGUGAACAGAAUAGUCAAUGAGUUGAGUAGGACGAUAAGUUAAUUCCAAAACUUGUAGCAAAUUAUUCAAACUAACAAAGGACUUCUCAUGUCAUGACAUAUGAGAUGAAAGCAUAUAUAUAUAUAGAAGCACUAGAAUAUGCAAAAUAAGUACAUCAUUCUAGCUUCUGAGAAUAUUUUUGCAAGUCUACCAAAUGCCAACAGUUUUUGGUUGAAAGUUGAAGAAGCUCCAGCAGACCACUUGAAUAGUUUCCUCGUUGAACACAGACUCUACAGUGGCGUAGCACCGUGGUCGUGCACUCCAACAUUGCCUUCUUACCCAUACGUAAACAUAGUCACAAACAGAACAACAACACAACAGCCAACAACACAACAAUCUUCCUCAGUUUCCAUACAAAAUCAUUUUAUAGAAAGAAUAUGCGAAAAAAAAGAAGUAAAUUACAGUAUCUUACAGACAGUAGUAAGCAUAAGCAUGCUUAAGUGGAAAACUGUAGUAAAAGCACUGGUCUUCUAGAGCGAAAGGAAAAGUUAAUUCAAAGAGUUCAUUCUGACCUGUAAUUGUAACACUAGGCAGCGCAGGGGUAACAGCAGGACCCAUGUCAAAGCCGCUUGCUCUUUUGCUGUAAAAGAAAAUUAAGUAGUUCGCCCGAAAUCAAGUAUAUACAAAAAUCACCUAAGACAUGUCAAGCACUUUUGUGUAGUGAAUUACAACAACAAAAUAGAUGCAAACCUAACUUUACAUUUAGCUUUCUCAAAGUUUGCAAACCAUGGUUUUGGUACUUCCAACAGAUUAUCCUUCAUAUUUUAUGACUACUACUGCAAUAAAAAAGAUUCAAUUUCCAUGGUAAACCUAAUCAUUCCCAUGAAAAGAAAAGGGCAGCGAAGACUCCACAAAAUAGUUAUGUGGAAACUUAAGGCCAAAACACCCAAAAAAAGUCAAAAAGAUCAACACAAAUCAGCAACCAUGGUUUCAUCGGUGAAUCUCCAAAUCAUUAAAUAAAGUUGCCAAGGAAGAGGAUGAAGUAAUUUACCUUUUAGAAGGAGAACGAGAGCGGGAUUGAAAUCGCUUUCCCAACCUAUCCUUCGAACGAGACCGUGAUCUAUGUCUACGCAUUCUACCCCUUUCAUAAUUGUGAUUCCGCCUGAAGGCAAAGAAGGCAGUCGUACACUUUAUACAAAUGUUAUUGGACAAAUGAAGGCUUAAGAUAAAAAGAUGUCAUAAGAAAAACUGUGAGGCAUUGAAGCACGACAAGGAGACUACAAUUAAGUUCUCAGCGUCAACAAAAUAGAAAUGCAUAAUAUUUGAAGCACAUCAAGGUGAAUAACAUCACAUAAUAUUGUAUGCUAACUAAUCAGGACUAUAUUAUUGGAUAUCAUGCUUCCACCGCUUACUUUCACCAAAGCUUACCGGUCGAAAUCACGACCCCUUCGGGAAUCAUAUUUAUCACCUUCCUCUUUUCCUCUCAGAUUCUUAGAGCUUCUCUCUAUGUGAUGCUCUUCGUGGUGCCGAUCCCGAUGUCUUUCCCUACCCUGAUCUGUUACCUUAUCUCGACCGCGAUCUCUUGCCUUAUUCCUACUCAGAUCCAUGUCUCUCUCGCGAACUUUCUCUCUUUCCAUACUUCGAUCUCUCUCCUUCGUAUGUAAAAUUUUCUAGCGUAGUUACAAAUGAGUUGUUCUGAAACCAAAAGCGAAUAGUUUAGAAUGAGAAACUCAAACAGGCCAUGAAAAAUUAAAUUUUUAAAAAGAACAUAGAGUAAUUUUAAUAAGCUCAUAGAAAAUAACUACUAGGUAAGAGAUUCUCGUAGUCAAUUUAACAUCUUAUUUCAGUAAAAGCACAAUUUUCCUUUUCCUCCGUAAAAUUGUACUUGAUUCAUAGAGAAGCCACGCACACGAACCAAUCCAACUCACAACAAGAAGAAACCUUUGUUUCUCGAUCUAAUCGAUCUGAUCCAGAGCUAAUCAACAGUGUGGCUUAUGAGAUCAAAAACUACGCAUUUUUUACACCAUUUGCUCUAAAAUUUUGAUCGAAAGGGCAAACCCUAGGUAGAAAAUAAGCAUGAGAAAAAUUGGGGAAAAAUUUAAUACAAAACAAAGGGGAAAGGGAGAAGGAUCGACCUCGCGAUGGGUGUAGGCGCCUCCACUGCCGCGGCGAAUGCGCCCUCUUUCUCGCAAUGCGCUACAAAUAAGGGACGCGCAUAAGGAAAAAUAUGCGUGUCGUAUACUCGUAUGGUAUUAAAAAAAAACGUAGUUUUUGCGUAUUUAUUUUAUUUAUCCUUGUAUAAAGUAUGUAUAAUGUAUGUGUUACUUCGUAUAAAAGUUUUUUUUUUUUUGGUUAUUCUUACAAAGUUGAGUUUUACCUGUAAUAUCAUCACUACCUCUCUUAUCCUAUAGUAGGAUUUUGGAAUUAAUAAUAACAAAUAUAUCCUUGUAGAUAAUAAUCUGUUUAGAUGGUAUUAGGUUCCUUGAAAAAGUAUUAUAAAAAUUUAUUUUGAGAAAACAAAUUUUGUGAAUUUUUUUGGGUUUUUAAUCCGUUUGGAUGCAAAAAAGAGCUAUUUUUCAAAAAAAAAAAAUCAAAUUUCAUGAAAAAUUACUAUAUGUAUUUUUUUUUAUUUUUUUAGAAAAAUGAAAAACUAGUUUUUCAUUAAAUUUGGGAAAAAAGGUUUUCAAAAAGGCUAAUUUUUUUAAAACCAAACAAACGAAAAAUUAAGAAAAAAAAUCAUAAAAUAUUUUUUUCUCAAAUUGUUUUCGUAUUUUUCUGAGUAAACAAACAAUGCCUUAAUAACUUAACAAUUUUGAAAUACCACACCCUCGCACAAGUGCUAAAGGGUUUGAGGGUUGGAAUUUGAUGUUCCAAAUUCGAAGUCUAAGAUUGUAUAUUAAAUUUAUUUCUAAAAAAAAAAACGAAACGUACAAUAUAUUAUCUUUAUCUCAGUUUUGAAAUAUUACUUUUAUCCCCAUAUAUUAUUAUCUGUCGUGAUUGUUUUAAAAUAAAUAAAAAAUUAAAUUCUUAUGAAAUAAGUCAAAAAAAUGUGCCUUUUCUUCUUUUUGUUUGUGGGAUAAAAUAUUGGUGGUUUAGAUCUAAAGAAAAUUUUAGCUGUGAUUAAAUAUAUGGUGCGAUUGUGAAUAGAGAAAUGCUACUUUUGCAUUUAAAAUUUUGGUGCAAAUUUUACACCUAUUCAUCCAAGAUUUAGGCACCUUAUUUAAAAUUUUAAUAUUUAAAAAUUUAAAAAAUCUAGUGUGGAAAUAAAAAUCACUUUUUGAAAGAGAGCGUGUAAGAUUCACACUCACUUUUGUUGUAUAUAGUUGGAAACAGGUUUGCGUGCGUUCGGGCCCAGCCCGUGUGGGCUGGUUUAUGAGCCCAGCCCACGGUUGCCAGUCGAGUGCGUAGCAGGGCUCACCCAAGGCACAAUAAGGAGUGCAGUUUAUAAAAAAAUAAAAAAUAAAAAAAACUGAAGUAAAAGUUUAUUAAAAAAAAUAAAGAAAAGAAAAUUUGAAGCAUAUUUUGCUCCUGUUUUUUUUCUUUUUUUUUUUUCUUUUUAAGGCUCUUAAUGUGAUGGUAUAUACACGUUCACAUGAUGAGUACCAUGCCUUAGUUCAUGUAUACGUAUAAUUGAUUGCAUGAUACCGACCGUCUCUAGAGCAAGUGAUAAAAAGCUUGGUAGUUGGUAUCCGAGAUCCGAGUUCGAAUUCUAGUUGAUUUAUAUUUUCAGCUAAGUUUAUUUCUAGAUGAAAUGAAUGAAGCAGGUAGUGUGCUAACUUAUCUCUCUCUCUAAAAAAAAAAAAAGAAAAAAAGAAAAAAGAGAGAUUGCAUGAUUAUUUAUAUAUGCUGAAUUCAGUACGAUUUUUUAAAUUAUUUUUUCUUUUAAAUGGUAUAAAAUAGGUCCACUCCUGUCUUUGGCUCAUGGAACUGCGUGGCUCAGGGUGGGCGAACACAGAUCACGAGGAGGGAAAAUCCAGCGAGAUUUCACAACGAAAACAGACAGGGACCGGUUAAACAGGUCGGUAAUUACGAAGCGCACGGUCUUCGGUGAUCGCUGCUCGGGGCCAUGCCAGCAAAUCGCUCUGCCAGCUGUCGUCCGGUUUCGUCGCCGCUGUGCCACGUGAGGCAGGGAAUGGCAUCAUCGCACAGACGUGAAGGCAGAAAGGACUCAGAUCUGCUGCGGCUUUUCUCUCUCAACGCGUUGCAGGAGUACUAGUGCGGCCGCAUGAGCUCGUAUUAUUAGUACCCUGAUGAUAACUGACUGGGCUUAAAUAAAAUGUACGAUUUGAAUAAGUUCCUGAUGCCCGGCUCUCUCUGAUUAGAACGUUUUCGGUCCAGCGAUGGAGGAAUUCUAUACUAUCACACUUGCACCAUGUUAUCAAUAAUAAGUCAAUUAUAUUUUUUAUUUUUAAAUAAAAAUAUAAUAAAAAUAUUUUUUUACAAUCAUGAUGAAACAUAUAUUCUUAAAAAGAUUAAUUUAAUUAGUUUAUUACGCCACAUCACAAGUAUAUCCGUUGCAUUCUAGAAUUUUUCCGGGCUAUGGGGUAGGAAGCUGGCCACAUCGCAGAUCUACUUGAGGGCACUUUAGGGCCUGUUUGUUUCAACGUAAGUAGACUUGGAGUGAAAGUGGACUUUGGGUUGAAGUAGAGUUGGGGUGAAAAUUAGUUCACUUCUGCUGUUUGUUUCUAACUGUGGAAGUGCAGUUCUGCGAGUUCUGUUGUUUGUUUGGUAGGAAGUAGAUGACGUAAAAAGUGUAGCUCUUCACCCCCGGUAUACUUACCUCCGAUAUGAUAUUAUUGUCUAUUUUGUAACUUAUAGUGAAUAAUAAAUUAUAAUAAAUAAAAAUUAAUAUAAUUAUAUAUAUAUAUAUAUAUANUUUUCAUCAUUUUCUAAAUAUACAUAUUAAACAAAAAAUAUAUUAAAACUUACCUAACUAAAUUUGAUCAUAUUUUAGAUAUACAAUCAAAAUAAAAAUUUUAAUUACUUCCAUAAUUGAAUAUAUUUGGAUGAAAGGGUAGAGAAGAGGUAACCCUAACACAUUAAUCCCACUCUUGCCUUUUUUUCACUUCACCGGAAUUGACUUCGCCCCGUGAGAGGGCGAAAUCAAUUUCAUUAUUUUGGGUGAACUGGACUUUCGGGCGUAAUAAAAUUACGGUGAACCAAACAACGAAAGUGGAUAGUUUUCACCGAAAAUUACUUUCCCCUUCCCACUUCCACCUCACUUUCGUGCAAACAAACAUGCCCUUAGUGUGUCCUUCUUUAUGGCUUUUUUGGCGACCUUUUUGUACGGAAAGUGUGGAAUUGUUUGCGUUCUAGCUUUUGGAUACCACAAAAGGCGCACAACACCAAACAGCACCCAGCAACCGGAACUAGCACAAGAAGACUAAACAUUUCGCCUCCGUCUUCUGCGUUUUAAUUUUUUUUACGAUAGAUUAAAACAACCAGAAAAGUUUUAUUAGCGAACAAAUUAUAUUUCUGUUUUUGCAAGCAACAGGACACCAACCAGGUACUUGAUAAUGCACAUGAACACGAACCUUACAUUACGAUCACCGAUGACAAAUACUUAUACACGCAACGAAAUAAAAGGAAUAAAAAAAAAAGAACACCAGCAGCAACUACAAUAAAAGAUCUCAAAAACAAUGACCAGUUCCACACAUUCGCUACAUAUAUAUAUAUAUAUAUAUAUAUAUAUAUAUAUAUAAAUAAAAGAAAGAAAUAAACAUACGGUAAAAACACGAUUAUACACAAAAACUUUCUUAAAAUCUCAAACGAGAGCGUUUUAACUCUCAGAAGCCGCGUCUACGAUCUAACAAUAGCUAUUACGACUAGUGCUGCUGCUGCUACUCGCCUUCGGGCAAGGGCUGGUGCUGAAUCUGCCCCCGGAAGACUCUAAGCAUGUCGGCGAAGCGGACGAUGCCGACGAGGGCGUAGUCGUCGUCGUCGUCGACGACCCACACGUAGCUCACGCGGUGCGCCAGCGCCUGGAUCAUCACCGCCACGAGCGAGCUCCGCGGGUGGCACACGAUCGCCUCCUCCGAUCGCCGGCCCAUCCUGGCCGAGUAGCUGCCCAUCGACCUCGCCCGUCUCGGCUUCGUCGGGGGCGGAGAGGGUUCAUCGUCAUCGUCGGAGGAGGACGAGGCGGAGGAGGCGGAGGAGGAGGAGGAGGAGGAGAAGGGAGGGGGGACGUCGGGGUCGAGGAGGUCGAGCAUGCCGAGGAGGCCGGCGUCGGCGAGGCGGUAUUUGACGGCGCGGAGGGUGGACUCGGGCGGGGCGCCGAAGCAGUCGAGGAAGGACAUGAGGUCGCCGGCGGAGAGGACGGCGAGGGCGGCGGCGGCGGACUCGUCGGCGCAGUGGACGAGGGUGGAGGGGGAGAUCUCGCCGAUGAGGCGGCGCCCGUCGUCGGCGAGCACGGCGACGGAGGUUUGCUCGGCGAGGGCGGCGCGGAGGAGGGGGACGGCGGAGAGGGCGGGGUCGUAGUGGCGCACGGCGAGGGACGCGGGGCGCACGACGCCGAGCGCGGACACGGAGAGCGCCGCGGCCGGGGAGAAGAGCGCGAUGGAGCUGAGGAAGAAGCGCACGAAGUCCUCAGGGGUCAGCCAGCAAAACUCCGGCGAGGCGGCGGCGGAGGGCUUCUUCCUCGCGGCGGCGGAGGCGGAGCGGAUAGGAACGACGAGGCUCUGCGCCCCGUCCAAGAUCGCGUCCAGAGAUUCCAAUAAGCUGUAAAAUCCCAAAAUCAGAGCUCUAAUUAGCAUUUCAAACAAACACGUCGAGGAGAUGAUAUCAAUGCAAUCAAACAAAAAAUCGGUAAAAAAAUAUAGCAAAAAAUUCAGGAAAAAAGGGGAAAAACUAUAGAAUCAGGUAGUCCUGAGCAAAUUGAUGAUGGACCGAAAGAAAGGAAAAAAAAAAAAAUCCGAGAAAAGAGAGGAUCGAAACAACAAGAGAACGAAUCGAGCCAACGAUCGUCCUAAUUGUAGCAACGACGAUCUAAGAGGGGAAAGAGCGGUUGCGAACCUGGAAUGGGGCUCGACGCGGCGGACGAGGGCGGGGCCCUUAGGGAUGAGGGCGGAGACGGGCUUGUCGAGGGCGGCGGCGGGGGAGGCGAUGUUAUCCUCGGCGCAGAGGAAGCAGAGGACAUCCACCAUGCACACCUUCCCGGCGAAGGCCCCGCGCUCCGGCGAGGCCCAGACGCCGAGGAACGCGUCGCCGCCUCUCUUCAGCGCGGCGAGCGCCUCUCCCACGGCGGCGCUCGGCGGGAGCGAUCUCAGCGGCGGCUUCCCGAUGCAGAGGUCCGACACCUCAUGAGACUGCAGGAGGCUCACUGCCAUGCACUCGCGGGGAACCCUAGGAACGGAUCUCGGGCGAAACCCUAGAAAAUAUGGGAGGAAGAGGAAGAAGAAGAGGAGGGUGCGGGGUAGGGUUGGGUUUAGGUUUUGGGUUUGAUCUUCCACCGGAGAAUGAGAUGGGGGAGUAAACUCCCGCUCGUGUUAAGGCGGUGGAGAAACGAAAAGGGAGCGUGGGGUGGCUUAUAUAGGGCGUGGUGACGGGCUUUACCGGUGGAAGGGUCAAAAUAUAGGCUACACCCGGUAUUUGUGAUCAAUUAUUAUUUCCGAGACCACGAAACUGCUGAAAAACUAUAUUAUAUAAUAUACGAUAAAAAAAAAAUUAAUACAAAAUUAUUUUACAUUUUCGUAAAUAAUAUUAUAAUAAAUUAUUUACCAUAUAUUUUUUAUAAUUUUGAAGAAAAAUAUAUAUUUCUAUAUAUUUUAACAUUAAUUCUAUUUUUUUUAAAUUUCAAUACUAAAUUGAUACAGAGUAAUUCCUUGUUGCUAUUUUAGUAUACAUAUUUUUUUUUUGCAUUCCAACUUCAUCAUCGGUCCUAGUAAAAAAAAAAAAAAAUUUUAUGAGAUCAAUUUCAAAUUAAAAUAGUCUAAGCAUAUACGACUAAUUAUGUAUACAAAAUAAUAACAAGCAAAAACUGCACACAAAAUUAUGUCUUAAACCAAAUUUAAAAAUUGAUCUAAUUCCUCUUAAUAUCGCUAUCCCAAGUGUUGUGGUGCAUGGUGAACCGGGUGCACGGAGGUGCUCCUCGGGCGGGAUGGGGGCGGCGAAUCCGGGUAAUGACCGGUACGUGGCACGGGCGAUAGGCGGUAGCGCGACGGGUGUACAAUUAUACAUAGGCGGGGGAAACGGCCUGCGCCGGUCGCAUCUCCCCUAUUCUCGGGAGCCCAAAAGGAAAGGAAAUAAAUAAAUAAAUAAAGGAAUAUACGAAUAUUGUGAUGGUGAACCCGUUAACUCCGGUGCACAGCUAAGACCAUGCGAUUGGAUCCACAUCAUCAUAGAAUUAUAAUAUCCCGUUAUGGUUCUUUAUUUAGUCCCUUUUUUGUUUUUUGGUGUGGACAUUUUACAUUUUAAAUAUUUAAAAGUUUCAGUUUAUUUGUCUUAUAUAAUUUUAAAUUUAAAUUUUUUUAAUGAUCAGAAACUAAAAUUGUGUGAAAAUUUAAAAACUAAAUUAUUUUGAUGAGAAUAGUGUACAGGAACUCUAUCCGUACAUUUUACCCAUUGAGAUUGAGUAAUCCUAAUUUAAUCACAAUGUAUAUUAGUUUAAUCAUUACCUUUUUUUUUAUAGGCUAAAUUUGGAGCUUAUUUUAUUUAUGUUUUUUUUUGGUCAUUAAAAAAAUUUGAAAUCUCUAUGUAAUAACCUGGUAAAGCGAUUUUUUUUUAAUUACUUUAAGGUAAUGAUUAAACUAAUAUACAUUGUGAUUAAAUUAGGAUUACUCAAUCUCAAUGGGUAAAAUGUACGGAUAGAGUUCCUGUACACUAUUCUCAUCAAAAUAAUUUAGUUUUUAAAUUUUCACACAAUUUUAGUUUCUGAUCAUUAAAAAAAUUUAAAUUUAAAAUUAUAUAAGACAAAUAAACUGAAACUUUUAAAUAUUUAAAAUGUAAAAUGUCCACACCAAAAAACAAAAAAGGGACUAAAUAAAGAACCAUAACGGGAUAUUAUAAUUCUAUGAUGAUGUGGAUCCAAUCGCAUGGUCUUAGCUGUGCACCGGAGUUAACGGGUUCACCAUCACAAUAUUCGUAUAUUCCUUUAUUUAUUUAUUUAUUUCCUUUCCUUUUGGGCUCCCGAGAAUAGGGGAGAUGCGACCGGCGCAGGCCGUUUCCCCCGCCUAUGUAUAAUUGUACACCCGUCGCGCUACCGCCUAUCGCCCGUGCCACGUACCGGUCAUUACCCGGAUUCGCCGCCCCCAUCCCGCCCGAGGAGCACCUCCGUGCACCCGGUUCACCAUGCACCACAACACUUGGGAUAGCGAUAUUAAGAGGAAUUAGAUCAAUUUUUAAAUUUGGUUUAAGACAUAAUUUUGUGUGCAGUUUUUGCUUGUUAUUAUUUUGUAUACAUAAUUAGUCGUAUAUGCUUAGACUAUUUUAAUUUGAAAUNCAUGUCUGCGUAUAAUCCGUACUUUCCCACUUUUCCACCUUUAACGAUUUCAUGCCUUAUUUUACACAUUCUACAAAGCAGCUAGGGUUACGAUCAAUAUAUAUAUAUAUAUAUAUAUAUAUAUAUAUAUAUAUAUAUAUAUAUAUAUAUAUAUAUAUAUAUAUUGACUCGAUGUGUGUGGAGGACACUAUUAUAUAUGUAAUUUAGAGGAGAGUAUAUUCAUGUUAUUAUUUUGUGUAAAAACCAAGAGUUAUGCUUCUAGGUACGUAACGAAUAUUAAUAAAAAAAUUAUUUUAUAUUUCACGUGCUUUAAUGGAGAGUAAAUUACGGAGCUUAUCGGAGGUGGGAACACUAAGACCGGGUCAAAGGUUCCUGGGCUCAAUUCAAUGACCCAAUCGAUUACGCUCGCAUGCGGACUCGUCCCCACGGCCUAUCCAUAAGAAUGGUCCACAAUGUACGGCGCCUAUAAGCUUCGGAUCAAAAUUAUGCGCCUCUCCAUUAUCUCUCUUAUUACGCGUGGGAUAAAAAAUAAUAUUUACCUUUUCAAUUUUUCUAUUUAAAUUUGGUUUCAAACACAUAAAAUUAGAAAAAACGUCAUGUACCAUCAUUAAAAAGUGUUAAAUACUGGUUCAAAAAAGAUGUAGAAUGAAUUAAGAAAUAAAUUUUUAUUGAAACAUCUAAAUAAAUUUAUUUAUCGUCCAAAAAAUAUCUUUUUCUCGUGUUCGUAAUUAUUAAUUAAGAGCCGUAGAAAGAGAUAUUGGGACGAAAAUUCUACCAAUCUGAUUUUAUUCGCAUACCUAAGUUUAUAGAUACACGUAAAGAUAUCACUAGUACAUAUGUGAAUGAUCAUGAAUAUUAGUACGUAAAUUAUAUAAUAUUUUUAACAUUCGAGUAGCGCAAUACAUUACAAAAUAAUAAAGAUUUAGCUUAACAAGAUUUAACUGGUUAAGAAAUGAACCCACUAUGGCAUUUUUAUUUCUUAAAUAAAUUUUAAAAUAAUCAACUUUUUUUUGGCUAUUCGUAGUAAGGAAUCCGAGUUGUCUCAAAAACAGCUUUUUAAUUCUUAUAUAUAUAUAUAUAUAUAUAUAUAUAUAUAGAGNNNNNNNNNNNNNNNNNNNNNNNNNNNNNNNNNNNNNNNNNNNNNNNNNNNNNNNNNNNNNNNNNNNNNNNNNNNNNNNNNNNNNNNNNNNNNNNNNNNNNNNNNNNNNNNNNNNNNNNNNNNNNNNNNNAAAAUUUGAUAACAAAAAAAACGUUUUACUAUUAAUAGUAUUCCAGCAUAAUUAUAUAUAUAUAUAUAUAUAUAUAUAUAUUUACUCUGUAUAUUAUUUAUAUUAUAUAUUUAUAUAAGCGCGUGGGGUGGGCGAGCGUCGCACGUUGUGAAACGGAGAAAAAGGCGCGAAAAGCAGCCACCUGUGGGACCCACCAAACCCAAAGCCACCAAUGGAAAUGCUUAGAAUUUCUUUGACCAGAAUAGUCAAAUAUGAAGUCAAUCUACUAUUUAAUGAGGCACCUGUCACUUACACACUGAUAAUUUUUUUUUUAAUUCUUAUUGUAUUUUUGCCAUAAAAUAUUGAUAUUUAUAAUGCUAUUUUUGGAGGAUUAAAUUUGAUUCUAUAAAUUUAAUUAAAUUAAGUUAAUAAAUAAUGAUUAGAUGCAAUGAAUUUAUUAGUUAGUGUCAAAAUCAGUCGCCGAUAUGUUUAUAGCUAGAUCGUUGAUAAAAAAUUUUGAUUUAUCUUAUGCAAAAAUAUAGAAGUGUCGAAUAAGUAUCAAAUGUGAUAAUAAGGCAUGUAUACUAUUCUUUUACUUGCAAGUGAAGCCACGAAUCAGCUUUACCUUUGAAAGUUUGAAAAGUUGAAAAAAAACUGUAAGAAAAUACUUGCGGUGUUCAUCCAUUGAGAUUUCGCCCAUCAGAAAAAAAAAAAAAAAAGAAGAAAAGAAAAUGAUAAGCAUGUGUUAUAUGACCAUAUGAGAAGGGUUUAUUAUAUUAUUACCUUAAUCAAUAUUUUCAAUUCAACUAUCCAGUACAUUGUAUACAAUAUAAUUUCUAACUAAAAAAAGUGGUGUAAUGUAUUUAUAUAAUAUUUUUGAUAACUUAAUUUCUAUCAAUCAAAUUUUACUUUUACCUAUAGUCAAAUUACUAUUUAAACUCAUGAACUCAAAAUGUCUCUUUCUAGGUAACAAAAUAGUAAUAAAAAAAGUAUUUUACAUUUCACGUGCUUUUUUUUUUUGAGUAAACAGGGAUUUAUCCUAUUUGUGUUACAAGUUGAGGGGUGUACAGAUGCGACCAAGUUGUCGUGAGGCUUUAAGCCGACAGAUACAACGAUAAACAUGCGACAUUUCACGUGCUUUAAAGACGAGUAUUUUCUCUCUCUUCCCCAUGUGAUCAUCUAAGAGACACCUCCGCUUUAAUUUGAAAUAUUUGUCAGAGUUUUGAACCAUUAAUACUGAGAAUCUCGAACUACACUGUAUGGAUGUUAUACGAAAAAAUCCAAAUAGUGCAAGAGUGUGUGACACUCUAUAAACAAACAUAGCAAUAUAACAAAUUGCUUAUCAUUCUAAUAAUAAAUCCAAAACGACCUUUGUAGCUCGGCAACCUACCUUAGCAAUUAUGUCUUGUGAGGUCCCAACAUCUUGUGGACGUGAGCGUUUACAGAUCCGAAACUCUCGCUAAAGAAAAAGAGAUAGAGACCGACCGUCUCCGGAGCAAGUGACAAAAGACUUGGUAAUUAAUAUCCGAGACCCAAAUUUGAAUCCUCGUUGAUUCAUAUUUUCAGCUAAAUUUAUUUCUAAAUGAAAUAAAUGAAACGAAUAGCGUGCUAUCUAUCUCUCAAAAAAGAAAAAGAAAAAAAAAAAAGAUAGAGGAGACAAAGGGGCGCAAAUUUUUUACAGUCUCAUGUAAAAGGACUAUUUUACUGCUCAUUAAAAUGUGGAGUGGAUCUCAAUCAAUAUAUCUACUUUUAUGCCAGCUACCGAUCUUUAUUAUUGGUUGAGAUCAGAGGGUCGAAUUAUUUUGUACAUAAAAAUUUUGUGCACAUAAAGAUGGGUAAAAUUUAUGAAUAAUUACCUAUAUAUCUCUCCAAACUUUACAAAUAUCUAUCAUAUCUACCACAGUUAAAAAAAAUUAAAAUAUCAAUUUUGCCCUUUAUUUAAGGGUAAAUAAAAAAUAUUGGUGACGGCAGAGGGGUCUAUUUGAAAUGACCAAAAGUCAAAAUACUAUUUGUGCCCCUGACUUAAGGGCAAAUAAAAAAAGCCGGUGAUUAUGGAAGGAUAUAUUUAAAAAGGACAAAAUAGUAAUUUUAUACAGAUAACAGAAUUUAUUAACAGAUUUUAACUCUAGAAAUAUAUUUGAAAUAGGUUGGAAUGUAAAAAAAAUAUUUUCAAUAUUAGCCUUAUAAUAGGAAUAAAUCAGAAAGUCGAAAAUUUUUCAGAAAUAUAUAAGCAAUUGCCCCUAAAAUUUAUGUACCCUAUGUAUCCUUGCACACUUUUAUAUACACACAGAAAGAGAGAGAGAAAAAUCAACACUACCAAAUGAGCUCAUCUCUGAGGUGGACAAUGAGAAUCAGCAUAUACGUAAAUUUUUUAUACACGAAAUUAUAGUAAACUUUUACUGUGUUUUAUUUAUUUAUUUUUUCCCUUUAUCAAUUGUGGGCCAUUCAUUUUUUGACUCAGUCACUUAAAGGUGUGCAAUAUUGUAUUCCACAAAUUGUCGUGUAUACGUUUAGGUAAGAUGUUUGAUGUGCCAUGACUCACAAGAGUUAAAAAAAUAGAAAAGCCCUUAUGAUAAUGCCAAACUGUUUGGUAUAGACAUAAAUGAAGCUAGUUAAUAAUCCAAAUUGAUUAAGUAGAAAAUAUGCACAGUGUUCUGAGUUGGCAUAAACUGCUCCAGUUGUAGAAAAAGCUUGGAGUGUGUGUGGGAAAUUAAUUAAUGUACAUGUUUAAAACAAUUAGUUGUUGUUUUCCUAUUUAUGCAUCAGAGGUUACACAAGAAGUUGCUAAUUAACCCUGCCUAACUACAUAUUAAAAUAAGUAUUUGAUGAUAAUCGUGUGGAGACGAAAUUUUGUUGCUGUGAUCGUCACGGCCUAAAGCAUUUGGUCCUUAAUUUUCUCACUAGGCAAUGAGAUUUGUAUUUGAAACCAUUCAGUGUCAGAUAAGCGAAACAAAACAGUGAUGAACGAUAGAUUGAUGAUUUUACUAUGACACAAGAAUGACCCCCGUGAUAUUUUGUUUCCACUUAGACGAUAAAUUUUUGGAGACUAUUUCAAGAUACGAUCGUCAAAUUCAUCGUUCAUUUUGUGCAACACAAUGUUUCAAAAGCAGUGAUGAAUGUUGAACCUUGGAUGUAGAACUUCAUGAAAUUUUUAUCUCUCUCUCUCCCACCCCCAAGUUGAAGACAAUGGUUUCAUAAUGUUCUUAAUUACAUACAAGUCAAAUUGCCCUAUAAAAGGGCCAAACUAAAAUGAGCUGGUGACAGUUCUAUUUUGUCAUGGAGCAAUUUAGGCUCUAAUGAAAAGACAACCCUCAAACUCUAGCAGGGGUUUGACAACAUAUAUAAUACAACUAAAACAAUUGACAUCAUGCAUGUGGGGGGCUAAAUAAUCUCAAUGUAGCAUAGUUAUUCUUAAUGUGGGACUAAUUGAGGAUUGGUAUAAUUAAUCUCCAAAAAUAGGAGUGUACCAAAUUGUAUACUAUUAUAUAUGCAGUAGAUUAACUAGAGUGAGACUGAUAUGUUUCUGAAAGUACGGAGUCUUCCGCUUCCAAGUCAUUUUCGAUGUUGGGAUUUUCGAAUCGACGAUCGACUCCGUUAGAUUUGAUCUAGAAUAUUUGAAGUAUCUAGAAAAUAAAUUUUGUGAUUUUUCGAUAUCAUUUGCAUAGAGAUCGAAGGGGCUCAAAAUCAAUCAUUUUAAUGAUCGUGGUGAGCAGCCGUUUGCAAAUUUAAUAGUAUAGAAAUAUCUAAAUUACGUGAAAUUUUGAUAGAAAUUUUUUUAUACUAUAUAAAACAAGAUCUAUAUCUUUGAUCUAAAAUUUUAAUGCCAUAUCAUCAUAUUUUGUAAGAUUUAUAUUUUCAGCCGUUGAUUUUGAGUCAUUUCGAUCACUAGGCAAAUAAUGUCAAAAAAUUAUGAAAUUUAUUUUUUAGGUACUUUAAAUACUCUAAAUUAAGUUUAAUAGAGCUGAUCAUUGAUUCGAAAGUCCCAACAUUCAAAAUGAUUUGAAAGCACGGAAGACUCUGUGCUUCUAGAAACAUACCAGCGAUCACUCGAUUAACUAACUAUAACCUACUCUCUUGACCAUUAUCACCAACAGAAUCCUAAUUAAUAUUAUUAAUAAACCAGCAAAAAAUGAGCUAAUUAUGUAUGUUACACUAAGAAAGCUUUAGCAAGCACAUUUCACUUCGAGUCGAACUCAAGAUCAUUAAAAAUCAUAAGGAAAUAAUGAUAAUAGCCAUCUAAACAAAUUGUGUAGUUCUCUUCUGAGCUAAAAUGUUUUUUUUUUUUUUUUUUGAGAAAUGAACUAAAAUGUUUAUAAGCUUCUUUUUUUUGGGGUCCAUUCCACCUUCAAUUUUGGGACCAUCAUCUUUAUCCUUUCCUACUUUAUAACGUUCAAAUAUUUUGUUACUGCGGUCCCCUGUUUAAUCUCUAAUUGGGAACUGUACACUAAUAAUUUUUUAUCUUUUUCAAAAUUAUAUAUCAACAAUAUCUGAAAUAGAAAAAAUGAACGCGGUGAAAAAAAAUUCUGACCCAUAUAUUAUCAAUCUCUCAUCACCCUCAUUAAUUCCUCUAACAAAACAGAGCAUGGUCUCAUUAAGGGGUUGUUUGGUUGCACGUAUUUGUAAUUGUACUGCAAUUACAAAUGCAUGCAAUUUUAAUUUCUGUGAUUGGUUUAAUGCAGUUAAGUCCAAUUACUGCAGUUGAGUCUAAUUGCUGUUGCAACUACACAAGAAGGUCCAAAUGUUGUAGUUGGAACUACAUCUAAAUUGGCUGCAGUUCCAACUGCAGCAGUUGGUGAGGAAUAGCAUCACCCACAAAUUAAAAUAAUAAAUAAUAUAUACAUAUAUAUAUAUAUAUGAAUAAAUAAAAAUACUUGUAAAUAAACUCAUACUAAUAAAAUUUUUUAGGUGUUUUGUGAAAAACUUUAAUUUUUUUUAAAUUUAUUUUAUUCAAAAUAUAAAAAAUAAUUUUUUUUCGUAAAUUUUUAUAGAAUAUAAUUGUGUAUGUCAACUUACUAAGUUUUAAUUAAUUGUAAUUAUUAAAUAUGAUAAAAAAAAAGAGAGAAUCGUUUAAAUUUUUAAAGUUUGAUUUACAUAUUAAAAUUAAAUAAAUUUAAAUUUUAAAUGUGUCGAUUAAUAAGUUGAAGAAUAUUAUAUAUAUAUACUUAUUUAUUUAUAGAUAGUAAAUUUAAAUAAUUAAUAAAAUUAUACAAUUAUUUUAUGUAUAGUGAAGGUAUAUAAUCUUACCACUCUAUCUAAAGUGAUGAUAAGAUUCACAAAUACAACUAUCAGCUUCAAAUUUCCAAACAGAAGAAAAGUAAUUGUAAUAGUUGCAUCUGCACAAAACCAAACAAACUAUAGAUAAUUACAACUGCUGUAUUUUCAACCGCAUGUUUUUUUUUUUAGAGAGAUAAGUAGCACGCUACCUGCUUCGUUUAUUUCAUUUAGAAAUAAACUUAGCUGGAAAUGUGAAUCAACUAGGAUUCGAACUUGGGUCUCGGAUACCAACCACCAAGCCUUUCGCCACUUGCUCUAUGAACGGUCAGUCGUAUAUAUUUUUAACUACACUGUAUUUAUAAUUACAUCCAACCAAACUGCUCCUAAAAGUCGUUAAGAAAGACAGUACAUAACACUCACAACAUGCAAAUGAUAAUGCGUUUGGUGUGGUAGUUGGGCAACAAGAUGUGGCAAAAGAGAGCUAGUGAUCCCAUGCCACUCUUGUCCUCUUGUCCCUACAUUAAACAAAUGAUAUUCAUAAAAGUUUAGGAAAAACUAAUAUGAUAAUUCUAAAUUAAAAUUAUAUAAUAACAAAAUAUUUUAUUUUUGUACUUCUAAAUGUGACAGGAAUAUUUCAUUAGUUACUUCUUUUUUUAAUUAUAAGAUAUCUAUCAUAGAAAUACUUUUUUUAGGAUAAAGAGACCCAUGGCCACGAGCCCACGAGGAGUGUAACCUAAAAAAAAGAAGCUGGUACAGGGAUCUCUCCCAUGUGAUAUUUUCUCAGAGCUGGUACGAAUACGAUCGCACAGUUGUGCCAUUUAAAAGCAUGGAGUAAAGAUUUAAAAAAUAAUAAAAAUUAAGAAAAAACUUUAAAAAAUCUUCUUGUGAUUUUAUUUUUUUUACUUUAGUAUACUGUGAUUUAAAAUUAGUAUCCUGUAGUUUAAAAUAUAUCAAGUUAGUACCCAGUGAUUUUGCACUUUAUCACUUUAGUACCCUAUGAUUUUAAUUUUGUCUCAAAUUAGUAUCCUAAAGUUUUUUAAACCAUAGGGUACUAAAGUGAUAAAGUAUGAAACCACAGGGUACUAAAGUAAUAAAGUGCAAAACCACAGGGUACUAGCUAACUUGAUACAAUUUAAACCAUAGGGUACUAAAGUGAUAAAGUGAGAAACCACAGGGUACUAACUUGAUACAUUUUAAACCACAUGGUACUAAAAUAAAAAAGUGUGAAACCAGAGGGGUUUUUGAGGUUUUCCCAAAAAUUAAUAAAAAUAACAUGGGGUAAUUUUUGGCUGAAAUAAUGCCAGUAACAAAUUUUUGCCUUACGACCUACGCAUAAUAACAGUAAUAUUAGGUUAAAUAUAAUUUUUAUAUUUAAAAUAUUUGUUAUAUAUAUAUAUAUAUAUUUUCAGAAUAGAGUGCCCCACCACCACAAGGUGUGGAACCUCAAAUACAACAGAUACAGGAUCUGCGCCAUGAAAAAAUAUUUAGAAUGUACCGGAUAUAUUACUGACGUAGUAUUUCUAAUCAAUAAAAUUGUGCUCUUAGAUUGAUACAUCCCAUCAUAAUUAAUAGAAAAAUAUUUUUAUUAUAUUUUUUAAAAAAAAUUAGAAAGAAAUAAUUAACUUAUUACUGAUGAUGUGAUAUGUAAGUGUAAUACAGUAGACUCUCUCUUGCACCAUGUGGCUAGUUUCGACGUCCCAAUACUACAGUACAGUAGUGCAUAUAUGAUCAGCAUGGUGCAUGGAUACGUUUAUGCACCAGCAAUAUAUAUACGGGGUGCCCACAACAGAAAGGUUUUUGCCUGGACCCGGUCCACCACAUUAGUCAGACAAAAUCCGGCUUGCGAAAUUCAAAUUCAACGCCACGGGUCCCACCUCCAGCAGCAAAAGGUCGUGAGUUUGAAUCCGAAUUUCAAAAGUUCGGCAAAGAAUCUAGAUUUUGAUUCUUACAAAAACAUUUCUAUAUAUACAUGCAUGUGAUUGUGCGUCGUGCUUAUCUAAAAGGUAGAAAUAUUAAAAGUGGUAUGUUAUGGAAAUCUAUUAAUCACCUCCAUUUAGAUAUCAAACUGUUUCCAAAGUCAGUGAUAUUAAAUGGGCAAUGGGUUAGAUGAGAAAUAUGUUUUUUAAAACUUAUGAUUUAAGAUCUAAAUGAGAGAUAUUUUUUUUUAAAACUUAUGAUAUAUUUAAGAUCAAGCAUGUAGAUGGACUACGAUUAUUUAAAUUUGACAGUUCGUCGAGUCCACCCAUGUAGAGGAAAUAAUUUCUCCGACAACACUGCGUGGGGUGCACGGGACUACACAAUCACAAAGAUAUAUAUGUACUGCUACCUAAUAAUUUGUCGCUCUUGUGUCUCUAAUGGCAUGAUUUUGUGUUUGGCUCUUUAUACUAUUCAAUACUUCUAAAAUUUGUUCAGGUGACCAUAUUUAGUAUUAACGAGCCAGAAGUUCGAUUUCUGUGAUAGGAGGUCAGGUUGAAUCAAGUCAUGUUCGAAAUGGUUGGAAGACGGGUUGAGUCGAAUCAUGUUCGACGUGAGUUAGACUGGUUGAGUCGAGUCACAAUCGAGAUCUGUAGCCGUUGUGUCUAUAUGCUAUAACUGAAUCGGUUGCGUAUUUCUAAUAACUCGAGCUUUCGAAAUUAAUGGUUAGCGCCAACGUCCGAUAUAAUGUCGAACUAAUUAAAUUGUUCAAGGGCUCACUAGGACCAAUCCAAAAUUUUAAAGUUUGUUAAACAGUGGAUAAUGAAAUUGUGAUCAAAACUAUACAAAGUCAAGUAAUUAAGCUCUUAAUUCCCUACAGGAGGUGACCAUUUUCCACAACUCUCAAAAAAAAAGAUAUUUAAGUAGCCACUUUUGACCAUUUUACCAUCUUUGAAUGGAUAUACCUUUGUUCCCACUCCACUAGCUGGUAAGUAGAAAGCAAAUUGAAAUUGUUUUCUGAAACCUUUCAAAUGCACUUUUUCCACACAGGCAGUUCAUUGCUUUCAUUUAUUUGCUUUUCCAAAGUUUCUACAAUCUGACUGAAAGCUACAGCUCUUCCCACCUCCAUCAACUAAAUAUCUAAGAACUGUAUUAUGUUGUUCAGAUGCCAUUUCCAUCAUUAUAUUUAUGCUCUUCUAGGAUCUACAUGAUGCUUUGUUUCACCCACAAAGAUAACCAUUGUUAUCUUUUUGUCAAGUGGCCUCUAUUCACUUCUAAUUCCCCCGAAAGCGGAUUCAGUCGAGACCAUGAUGACUAAUAAAACAUCAGAACCUUUCAUAAUAAUGCAUCUCUAACAUCAGUAAGUUCAGAAGAGCGCGUAAUUCAGUAAGGGGCUAAAGAAACAUGCAUGCUUCCAUAACAUUACAAUUUAUUUUGGUACUAACACAACAUGUUAAGGAUCAGAACAUAAGUUAUCAUUAGUGCCUUUCUUUAGCUUGAUACCUGAGACCAAUAUAGCCGAUCAUAGAAUAGAAUCUCCGAUAUUCGAUAAGUAGGUAGUGUGUCAGUUUCCAAGUAGGGAUUACUUGCUUUUGCAUUUGGAGAAGAGGCAAGGGAUGAUGCGUAACGAAGUUAACGUAAUAUAAACAUAUGAAGAAACACUGUCAUUGUCUUUCUUAAUCUCUGUAAGACCUCAAAAGAGUGUAGAAAACUAAUAUUAUCCUUAAUAAUGAGCAGGUCAUUUUAUACGCCUUUAACACGAAUCCUAAUCUUAUCUUAUACCAGUUAGUGAACAAAGAGAGUGCUCUUUUCUUUUUUUAAUAAAAAAAUAAUAGUAAAGAAAGUGAGUGUGCUGAUCAGCAAUGCCAGUUUUUAGGAACAAUAAGGUUAAAUGUAACUUCACUCUCCACUUUUGACGACUCUCGGCUUUUUGCCUGUCAAUUUCAUUAGACAUCAUAAUAAGCUCUGAAGUUGAUUGGUAUCUGUAAUAACGACAGUUUGCAGAAACAGGAACUGCUUCUAUCUUUCACUAGAUUCAUCACCUACUUCUCUUUUCCUCUUUUUUUUUCCUUUUACUAUUAAUCUCAAGAAGAUACUGCAAAAAUUAUCUUUAUCAAGCAAGAACAACAAAUGGAAAAGCCAAAAGUUUAGAAGCAUAUUGAUUAGCUCUAUGUUACAGAAAUUAUACAUCAUAUCAAAGACGCAUCUGGCGUGAAUAAUGAAUAUAACCGUUUCGUUCAUUCUGUCAAAUAGGAGGACGCGUGUUUAUGCCCCAAAAAUUUAUUUUGUGUUCGAUCCAUGAAUUUCACUUUCCGAUGUAUUCGAUCCAGACAUGAAACUAUGUGGUGGCAUGAAAAUAAAGCUAACAUUGUCUGAAGUACAAAAAAUUCAUUGCAGCAAAAUUCAUUUCUGCAUACAUCUUGGUCAUAUUUCAAGCUGCUUUACUCAAAAAAUACUUCUACAUGAGUUCCACUUUUAACUGGAUCUAAGAUCAUUUCUAGCCCUGUAAAAUCCCAAUAUUUGUUCCUACUCAACAUACUUUCAAAUUAAAAUGGUCAAAAGCAUGUUUGAGUAGGAUUAAAUAUAAUUCUCAAAACAUGAAAAAUUUAGUCCCAGAGUCAGGCCAAAAAGGCUUGAAUUGUAGAGUUAGACCCAAAGUCGGCCAAUAAGGGGUCUCAAUCCAAAGGGGAAAAAAAAAAAAAAAAAAAAACGUUGAGGGGGUCAUUUCAGAAUGCAUAAUAGUUGAAGGGUUCCCAAUUCCCAUACAUUUUCAGCAGCAGAAUAAUAUGGCUUUUCAGCUCAUAGGAAAAGUCGGGGCCGAAUGGCUUAGAGCGACUACUUCAUACCAAAAGUCGGCGGCGAAAGAGAUCAAUUUAACGAUUUCGCAUACUUUGCCGACUCUAUUAGCGAUACACGUUGCAUCGCCGUAUUUGCGGCGAGCGGCUUCGUUAUUGAAGUCGUCGGUGAUAUAGAUAGCUUUGCCGAAUUGUAUGUAGUUACUCGCCUCAACCAUGCUCCGUGCUCGAUUCGGUAAUAGCGGAGCAAACGAAGCUCUCCUCCCUUCCUCUUCCCCUUCCUCCGCCUCACCUCAUCUCACCUUCUCUCAUGGCGAUUCCAAUCGCAGAUAAAACCCUAACCCUCCCGACCUCUCUCAUCUCCCCACAACUCCCUCCUCUUCGUCUCAAUCCCAUCUUCCUCCGGAACCUCACCUUCUCCUCUGCUUCUUCGAGCUGGAAUCGGAAGCCCAUGGCCAUCGCCGUCUCCUCCACAAUCUCCACCUCUUCCGACGCAAACCCGUACAAUUACGGUGGAUGGGAUGAUGUGGAGCUCGUCGAUGGAUCUGAUAGGUCGGGGAAGGUCGAUUCGAUUCGGAGCUUCUUGGUUUCCCUCGGCGUUCAUGAAGGCAAGCACGGUUUCCUCUUCGUUUUGGGCUUUAUCUCUGCUUUUGCGGUUUCUAGGGUUAGGGUUUCUCCUGUGGUGGUCGUACCUAUCUCGGUCUUGGUCUUUGUUGCUGGAUUCGCAGCGGGAUCGACUCAGAAGAGCAUUGUUAGUAGGAAUGAUAGUGAAAUUAGGGCAUAUGAUGAGAAACAUAGGAACUUGAGAGCUAUUUUGAAUGAGGUGGAGGUUAAGAUAAGUGAUUUGAGAAAUGGAUUGGAAAAUAUUAGAAAUUCAGGUCAGUUAGAUUUAAGCAAGAUUAAAAAUUUAGUGGAGGUUGUUGAACAUAUAGGAAUUAAAGUUGGUUAUGGUAGGAAAUUUGUAGAGUUUUCAAAUCCAGGUGAUGUUUUGGAUGACAAUAUGGAUAUAGAGAGUGAAAGAUGGAAGAAAUCGAACCAGAAAACAGGUCAGAAGAAAACAAAAUUCGAAGCAAUUGCUGUUGAUCUUGUUCAAUAUCUCGGUGGUCUUAUUAAAGAAAACAUAAAUGAGUUUAAGCCAUCUAAGAGCAAAGAUGGGGGCAAUAAGCAAGAACUCUCGGAUCAGCCGAGCUUAAUUAGGGAAAAGAAUAUAAAUUCUGCAGAUGCAAUGAAAGGAAAUGCUAUUGCUAAUGAUAAUUCUUCUAAUCCAUCACUAGUCGAAACUGUGAAAAACAAGUUAGAACAAGAUGAAGUAUUUUCUGGAAAAACAGAGAGAAAGGCAUUGGAUAAGUUGAACAGUGGCGAAGAGUUACCUUUUGAUACUACUCAAGAUGUAAUCAACGAGAUGAAGAACUCCGAAUCCAGAGGUAAAAGGUACAGUAGUGAUAUGCUCUCAUAUGAUGAGGAGGGUAAUGACUUGAAUAUGAGUUUGCACUUCAUGAGCAAGCAAGCGAGUUUUGAGAGAAUGGUUAUUAAGCAUAGGUAUGGCCAGAUGAUAAAAAGUGAUAUUCACGAUCCUGCUGAUUAUGGUACAAAUCCAAGAGCAAGAGAAACUACGAGAAAUAUGGAUUUCUUCAAAAAGUCUGAAGAAUUAUCACAGGUAGAACAGACCCUGGAAAUACGCAACAGCAAUAAGUUGAAGGCUGAGCAGAUAGGUGGAACCACUUUCAGAAAGGCCAAACCAAAAGCAAAUUCUGAGUAUCGACUUGAACAAGCACCAAAUGCUGAUGUUACAGAGAAAGAGGUUGUUUCUUCUUCCCCAACAGUAUCAAGUGAUGAAGAAUUCAAUCAAAAUGUAAAGAAGGCCACAGAGCUUCUAAAAAGGGCAAGAGGAUGCAUGGCAAGUAAAGCGGAUGAAGAGACAGCUGAUGCACUACUAUACAAAACUGCAAGACUGCUUUCCACAGCUGUAGCUCUUAAGCCGACAAGCUUACUAGCUGUGGGGCAGUUGGGAAAUACUUUUCUCCUCCAUGGAGAGCUCAAGUUGAAGGUAAGUCGGGAACUGAGAACUCUUUUAUCACGUAGUGAUGUCUAUCUAAGAAGAGAAAGGCCUAGUAUAUUGCUCAAGAAGCUGGAUAGAAACAUUCUAAGCAGAGAGAGUGUUGCGUCUGUUUUGGUUGAUGUGUGUGAAGAAUGUGAGGGACUCCUUGUUGAGGCAGGAAGAAAGUAUAGAAUAGCUCUGUCGAUUGAUGGGACUGAUGUCAAAGCGCUCUAUAACUGGGGCCUUGCGCUCUCCUUCCGUGCUCAGUUAAUUGCAGAUAUUGGGCCGGUAAGGGUUAACAUUUCUUGGAUUGACUUUAGUUGUUAGUACUAAAUUUUUAAAAUUUUCAAUUGAAGCAUAAGUUGAAUAGACCUUUCUCACACCAAAAGAAAACGGAGCAAGAAUUGUAUCAAUUUUAGGGACGUGACAUAUUUCAACUUUAAUUAUUACAAUUUCGGCCAGGAUGCAUUCCAAGCUAACCAAGCAUAACAACCGAAAAAAAAUCACCUGCUAGCUUAUCCAAUCAUAUAACCAUAGUGCUGUACUGCACUACUGGUAAUAUUACUUUAAAUUUGCAUAAUGAGAUUCUAGCGGACAUUAUUCACACUCAUUGCACAUAAUUGGUUUAGAUUGUUAAAAUAUUAGAUUUAUAUACGUGUUUUGGAAGUUGGUUAUAUGGUGAUUUUGAUGUUGUAUUCGUCCCGUUUGCUGAAACUAAAUGCAGGAAGCAGCCCUUGAUGCUGACAAGGUGUACCUGGCAGCAAUUGAUAAAUUUGAUGCUAUGUUGUCCAGAGAAAAUGCUUAUGCACCAGCAGGUAUGCCUUGAUGAUUCAAAUUCUCCUAAUCUUCUGUUGAAUUAAUGUAAUUAUCAUUCAGGAACAACAUCUUUGUACAUAAUAUGGAAAAGAAAUUAUGGAAAACCGAUAAUGUUCUAUUUUUGAUGAAAACGUUGAAGGAACAUCUAUCAUUGUGUAUAGCCAAACAUUUAGCAAACUGAAAGGAGCUUCUGCCACAGCAGAAGCCGAAAUGAACUUUAUGACUGCAAAGUAGAGGCUCCAUUUUGAAGCCUGUACUUCCGGUGCAGCAGGAAGCUAUUGAGGUGAUUUCGGUAAAAGUUGUUUGCGCUUCUUCAAGCUACUUAAAUAGCAUUUAUGUAGAAGCUUCAGUGGAGGCAAGCAGGCCGUAAUUGAACCGAUCAAGUAUUGAAACACUGAAAUCCUUUUUUCAUGGCUUUUAUAUUCCUUUCUAUGCAACUUAUAGAUGGUAUGAAUAAUUUAGUGUUCUUUCAGUGCACUACAUUGCUUAUUUAAGUUACAUAUCGAUAGAUGACUUGUUAGCUAUUUACUGACCAGAAGUACAAAAAUGUGCAGCUCUGUAUAGAUGGGGCGUAGCACUGCAGCAGAGAUCACAUUUGAGACACCGCAGUAACAGGGAGAAGGCGAAACUGCUGCAGCAGGCGAAAAGCCUCUUUGAAGAUGUGCUGUGUGUAGAAGCCGAUAAUCGGCUAGUAAGAGAAGCUCUUUCUUCGUGCAUAUCAGAGCUCAACUACAAUGGACAAUGGCCGUGAACCAAGUAUUGCCAAAAUACUAAUAUUAGAUGCGCUCGAGGAAGUUCAUAUGCACAAAUUUUUAUCUCCAGAAAUAAGCAAUUUCGGCUUAGACGGACAAUUUAUGAUCCAUAGAGCAAUAAUAAAGUAAAAGCAGAAGCAUGAAAUAGGCUUUUCGUACCCAUUUGUAAGUGGUCAUAGGGAUGCCAGAAGCUGGAGGGCAAAUUGCACAUACUACAUUCUGCAGCUAUGUAACUCGCUGUAGAAGUUUAUUCUUUACCUGAAUCCUGACUAAUGCAGGACGAAGCUUCAUUACGCUUAUUGGUCCAGUUCUUUUUUUGGGGUGGGAAGAGCUUGUCGAUCCUAAGUUUGUAUCCUUGAAAUAACUACACUUGUACAAACUUUUAUUGAUUUGUGACCAUGCAUUAGUUAAUUUGAAAAGUGAGAUAUAUGAAUCUAAUCUAUCAAAAUUCCUGAAAAUGACUACAGAUUUCCAUACAAUUCUAUGCACUCGAGAUUAAAAUCAUUCAGCACUUCAUUGGAUUGAGCCUCAAAUUCCAAUACAAAAGAAGCUGUUUACCUCGAAACAAUUUAGUUUGAUGACAAGCGUUUUGAGUUUACAGGCAAACAGUGUCUGAACUGGAACACAUUUCCAAAUUACAGAGUUUCUGCUCUUGGUCACUUGCUAGAUGAAGUAAUUGCAGGUGCAACUCAAAGAUUCUUGCACAAAACACUUUCAUGGAUGAGAUUAUCCACACAAAAUGACUAGUCAUCCUCUGGAUCGAAAUCCUUGAUUUUCACAUCAGCAUCUUCUCCGUACUGGAUGCAGUUGUCGAUAUAUGACAGUACGUAUUGUAUGCUGAAAAAGAAUGACGAUAAUAAGAGGCAAUACAAUGAUCAAAUUUUGCACACAAUAUCAGAAAAAUUAGUAGGAAAGUAUAAAAGCCACAAGAGUAAUAUUUCACAUUUGUCCUGUUGAUGCUGUCACAAUUAGCGCAGCUGCAUAAUCAAACCGAUUUAGAAGUUUUUGGUUAAUUGCCAGAAAUUACUAGCCACAUCUUAGAAGCCAACAUGCUUUUAGCUAAAAAAAAAGGGCUCCCAUUUUAUAGGUGUAGGUUUCGAAUCUUUCAUGUAAGCACAUGUGGUAUUUAAUACAUAUAACUAAGAUUGAGUACUAUGAAAUGAACAUUUGGACGUAUAUAGAGCUCGUACAGCUGGGAGCAGUUGAUAAGGUCGUUUAGGAACAGACACUGGCAGGAUGCCAUUUUAAGCACUAGCACUGAAUGGAACAGCAGAUCAAACAAUGAAUUGAAACUAAUCGAAUUGGAAUCAAAUUCACUGAAAAAUUCAACUAACAAAUGAUAGAUUUUUACUAUAUCACACGUACCUGCUCUCUUUUCUCAGGUCAAGAGGAAUAAAACUCACCAUGCUGUAGUCAUCAACCUAAAAAAUAUAAACCGCAACAUAAGAUAACAAAUAGUACAAAAGAGACAUUACGGAACAAAAAAAAGGUUAAAAGUUUAUGUGGCAGAGACAAUAACUUCGACUAAUAAGAAGAAUAAAGUUCUAACCGGUGGGUCUAUGACUCUGUGACAUGUAACACAGCAUACCCACACAACUUCAACAUACAUAUACAAUAUAUACAUGCUUGAGCUCGUGUGCUUCUAAUGAGUAAUGCGGUAAGCAGCCAAUUAUAAUGAAAAUUACUAACCUGAGAACGAACUCUUAAAACAAAACAGAAAGAAAGACAAAGAACAACAAUAAUGAUUCACUGAUUUCUCGCAGCCAACUCCCUCCAUUAAAACAUACCAGUUCAGCCAAAGCUUUAUUUAACUUUGCAAACUGAGGUGCCAUAUGCUGAUUCAACGCUGAGAGUAAAACCCGUGCCUCUGGAUUGAGAUACCUAACAACAAAUAAUGGAAGAAACUUAACAAGCAAAUAUACAAAGAAACCAACUUUAACACAAGGAAACAGAGCCUACUCUUCAACAUCCUUUUUGUUAGCAACCAAGUCCAUUUUCGAAAGGAUGUUAACAUGAGGAAGUUCAAGCUGAAUCAUCGCAGAGAGAGAUGCCAUGCAACCACUGAUGUACUUGGUUACAUCAGUCAUGAACUGCACAAGAAAGAACAAAAUGAGGAUCUGAUAAUUGCAAUGAUGUUAUAUGAUUUUUAAGGGUUUCGCACAUUAUACAAAGAAAUUGUACAACGAACCUGUGAGUCAAGCAAGUAGACAGCACAAACGUUGAAGUUCUUGCGCUUUAGAUGUUCGACAAAAUUCCGCAGAACGGGGACAUGUGUAAAUAGUUCUAUCUGACCUGUCCAACAAUGACCAAAUUAUAACUUUCAGUGUACACUUAUCAAGUAAAAUAUCCCAAGUAACAGGUGUCCAAUACUUUAAGUCACACCAAAUUCUGAGCAUCUUACCUUCAAAAAGAGAAAUUCAUUAAAAAAAAUGUAAACAUGCUGCAAGAGGAGUACGACAAAGUCCGGGAUCCAGAGUCAUUUGAUGAUAAAUAACAAAGUAUGUCUAAUAAAACUGGAAAUGAUAUUAGCCAAUGAUUGCCAACUCAACGACCAAUUAACAAAAAAAAACAGAAAUUUGAGUAUGACCAUAAAUCACCUCUAUCCAAAAAAAAAGAUGCAAAACUACUUGGACUUCCUAUAAAAUAAAGGGAGAGGGGAGAAGCGAACAAAACAAGAAAGCAUCAGUUUAAGAAAGCUCAAGUAGAGGUACUACUAAGUACUGGAAUAUGCUUAAAAACAAAAAUGAUAAGAUAAAUUAGCAUAGCAAUGCCUUACCUGGACAAUCGAAGACAAGGUAGUCGUCAUCCAAAUAGUUUUCUAGUUCUUCUUCCAACCAGUCAUCCAAAUUUUCUUCAAGGUGCCUACAACUUGCUUAAGGAAAUGCCGCUCAAACACAAGAAAGAAACAUUAACAACAACCAACAUACGAGAAUGAAAAGGUUUUCCGAUAUCAGAUACUUCAAUAAAAACAAGCGAGAUAUAAUUCGAAUUUCAGGAUACUCCAUGCAAUACAUAAGUCCUCCGUUUGGCCCUAACCCAAGCUCCUCCAUAACAUCAUCCAACGAUAUGAGUUCUCUAAUAUCUGCAGCGAGGAAUAAUAAUCUUAAUCAUUCGAUUUUGCAACCGUUUAAAAAGUUCAGUAGAAUAAGAGAUCUUGAAAACGUUACAAAGAUUACCCAUUGCCACAGGGUAGUCAAAAUUCUCGGCAGCAGGAUCGAGGUUUACUACAUGAAUAGUCCGCCUCGUGGUCUCGCAGUGCUGAUAUAAGCUGGAGCAAUAGGUCGACUACACCACAACAAGCAAAAGAAUAACUCACCAGCAAACAGCAAAUGGGAAAAAACAAAGUAUUAAUCUACAUACUCUUUAAGCUAACAGUUUAAGAAGUAGUAAAAAGCGAUCAUGUGCUGCUUCAACAUUUUGAUACGAGUAAUUUCCGUUUAGAUGAAUUAGGGAAUCCGCGAAGAUUAACAACUCAGUAGGCUAAAAAAGCAGGAACAGCUUUAAAUUUUAAUAAAACUCACCCCUCAUUAACAAUAAUAAUAAUAACACCACAAUUCAUCUGACAAAACAACUUAGAUCAAAAUAAACAAAAGUUGCGGGAGUGUCUUAGGGAUCUGCUUCAACGUGGCCUAUAGUUUUGAAGUUUCCACGAUAUUUUACCGAGAUCAGGAACUAACGAUAUCAAAGAAUCGCUCAUACACGAGACACGAAUAUAAAUUUUACGGACAAUACAAAAACAAAGACGGAAAAAAGGGGGGACAAAGGAGUAAACAACGGAUUAAACGCUCACCUUGCCGCUCCCCGCGGGGCCGAUGACGAGUUGCGCGUAGCCCAUAGGGGAUGCCCAAAGAAGAAGAAGAAGAAGAAGAAGAAGAAGAAGAAGCCCCUUUCGCUACUCCUACAGCGGCGCGAGAGCGUGGGAUUUAGAGGAAGGUGAGAAGAGCGGUGGUGGCGUACGCUGUGCACCACACGAUCGCGGCGAAGAGGAUGAUGAGGAUCGUGUAGUACUCCAUUUCUAGGGUUUUGCUUCUGAUUGAGAGGAAGAGGAAGAGGAAGAAGAAGAGGAAGGAGGAAGGGGGAUCGCAAAGGAAGAGGAGUGCAGAGAGAUGAAUCACCGUAGACGGAGAGAAACAGGGUCUAUAAAGGGUUUCGGUGUCGAGUGGAAACACUUUUAAUUUUUAUAAAUACUUUUUAAGACACUAUUUAAAUUUUUUAAAUUAGUCUAAAAAGAAAUUUUGAUGAGUAAAUGAUUACGUACACUUUGUAAAAUUAAUAUUAAAAGAAUUAAAAAUUAAAAUUUAAAACAUUUAAGAACCUACAAAAAUAAACCCGCCCGGAUCAUGUGAUCCAAACGUGGCCAAAGUUGUCGGGUCAAACCCAACCCAAUAUGGCUGAUCGGGUUGGCUUGAACCCCAGUACAAAUUACGAUCCUACUUGUGUGUAGCAUUCAAUUUAAGCCGAUUUACAUUGUGCUCAGGGGCGUAAUCACAAUUCUACUUGGCGCAUUCAACUUAACAAAUAGAAACCAUCUCCAACAGGUUCAAAGCUUAAUUUUGGCCACAAACCACAGCAACAACUUUAAGGGGCCGUUUAGUUGAAUAUAGUUAUAAAAAUAAUAUAGUUGAAAGUACAUAUAGUUGUAAAUACUACAAUUGUAAAUGCUCAGUAAUAAUUGCACCUAAUCUGUUUGGUUUUAUACCUUUGCAACUACUGUAGUUAUAUUUUUUUGUUUGGUAGGUUACAGUUGAAAUUUCUAUUUAUAAAUUCUAUAAAUUUUUAGAUAAAAAGAUAAGAUUAUCUCUUCUAAACAUAGCAUAAUCAUGAGAUAUUUUAAAUAUUAAUUAAGACUUUUAUAUAUAUAUAUAUAUAUAAAAAAUAAAAUUAUGUAUAAAUUUAAUGAAUUUUAAAUGCACACAUACUAUAAGUUUGGUCAAAACAAAAAUUAACGCAUUAUUAAAUUAGCAAACUAGAAAAAAAAUAAAGUGUAUGAAAAAAAAUUAUUGAAUCUUAACACACAUUAUUAAACCUAGAAGGUUUCAUGAAUAGGUAUUCUUAAAAAAUAUAUAUUAAAAAAAAAAGUAUAAAAAAUUUUUAUUAAAUCCCAAAAAAUAUUAUUAAAAUUCUAGCAAAUUUCAUGAAUAGAUACUCUUGGGAAACAAAAAGUUAAAAAAAAUAUACGAAAAAAAAACCACACUUUAUUUAUUUUUUUAAUUGGUGAGCUCACUCCAGCCUAUUGCAAAUUGGCUACAGUACCAACUACAGCAGUUGGGCAAUUGCAGCAGUUGAAUCUAACUACAUCAAACCAAACAAAAAUUUAACAAAAAUUUAAUAGAUGCAUGUAUUUCUAGCUGCACUGCAGUUGGACAUGCAUGCAACCAAACAGCCCCUAAAAUAUGCAGUUGCCAGUAAGUGGAGAAGCGAAUUUAGACGCCUCUAUGUUAACACAAAAGGCCAAUAUAGAAUUCAUAAUGGCGGAAUAUAUAAAUAUACAAAGUGUGAGGGGCUUGAACCUUCAAGAAAAGGGCCACCGACCUCAAACCUGCCUCAUUCAUGAAGCUUUCAAAUCUUUGAAGAUAAAUAAAAUAAAUUCCGCGCAGCACUUCCGAUCCAAAACAAGACCAAAGCAACAAAAGAAAUUACUGUUUGUCAGAGGCAUCAUGCUGAUACAACGAUUUAAGAAUCAUAUAACAUGUUAACAGCGAGUAUUGCAACUUGAUACAUGCUACGCUAAUAUUUGUGCAUGCUUUGGCAAUUUAAGUGCCAUUUACAGUUUGGUAUGUUAUCCACCAUGACUUCUGUGUACCUAAAAUAGUUGUAACACAAUUAUAAUCAGGCCCCCUCUUAAAAAACCACAUAUCCUGAAGAGGGUCUGCUCUAGCGAAGCACCCAUUUUACUUGCUAACCUGAGCACAAGAAAUAUAAAUAAAUAAGACAUUAACUGGGCCACCAAAAAGCCAAACCAACAAAGGAGAAAAAAACCCAUUAAUACGCAAAUGUUUUACCCUGUCGUGAAUUCGCACACUCCAAUCAUUAUUGAGAGGUAAAUUAGAUUCAAUAGGUGAGGGCGCACGAAGGGACUGGCUUCUCAGGAGAGGUAGCCUUGCAGGUUCAUUAUCAUCAUCACUGUCGUAAUAACUUUCGUGAUCUGGUCCGAGAGCCCUGAGUACCAUGGCCAAGAACAUGGACAAAGCCUGAAAAUUAAAGGUUAAGGACCGGGUCAUAAACAUCAAGUAUCUAGAUGGCAUAGAAGUAGGAGAAUCAAGUAUCUGCUAAGCAGCGGAUGCAGCUAUCUUCUAAAAGAUACUUACCUGUGCAGCCACGACAGAUAAGCCUAUCCAUUUGCACAUUUCAAAAUUCAACCUCACAAAAUUUUUAAAUUCAUCGAAUUUCCCACUUGGAUCCUCUGGAAAAUCCUAUAAUGAAAGAGAAAAAAAGGGAGAAAAACAGUUCAGAUCAUAUCUGGAGAGAGAGAGAAAGAGAAAAAUCAGAUGCCUCGUAUAGAUGAUACCUCUUCCCAGUUUCUGUUCAGAAAAAUAUCGGCAGUAAUUGCAGCCUCCAGUAACACAAGCAAAAACACAAAGGCCAUGUACUAUAGAACAGUUAAGGCAAACAAAAGAAUAAAGAGUAUAUCACAAUGAAACAAUAAUUAAGACGAGAAAACAAGGCUAUCAUUACAAAAAGUGAAUAUACUAGAACCAUUACUUGUUGAAGUGACUUAAGAAGAUCAAAAACGGGUAAUGAAAUUUAGUUUCCUGGCCUCAAAAUUAUUAUCUUCAAUAUGCAGGAUAUUGCAAUCAACCUAUUCAGGACGGUACCACCUGUGUUAUGAAUAUAGUUUAUGCUCAUGUAACAAACUUAAAAGCUGUAAAUGAAGCUCUCCUUCGUAUCUCACGUCAAGUAAAAGGACUUCGAUUUCAUCAUCUUAAAACUUUCUAGUUUACAGUAGUUAGACUUUUCAAGUUAGCCAUUGCCUACAGCAGGAUAAAGCUGGCACAAAACCUUUUAUCAUCUCUGGAAGCACCCAUCGCAUCUUCAGUACCCGUCAGAUUCCAAUAAAGCGGAAAAUAAAUUCAACAAAAGCCUACUAAAUUUGAUAUCUUUAGAAAGGAUACACAAGAAAGGCAAUGGCCAUUUGCAGUCUCGGCAGCGAUGUGCCCCGAACAAGUUAGCAAGCACAAGAAGACACCUAGACCGAGAAAUGUGUAAAUGAACCUGCAUCAAAAAGUUAACUGUCUCAGGAACAUCUCCAUUAAACAAACAUAGUUUUUCCAGCACAGUGAAAAACAAUCUCAAGUACAAAUGUAAAAACAGUUGUUCUUUGAAAUAAGCAUCGAAGUUGACAACAUCUGGGAACAAUCUACAACAAAGUUCUUCUCAUAGAUAGGAUUGUAUCCCCGAUCUAAUUCUUGAGUCCCAUAAUAAUCCUCAAAAAGUAAUAAAACAACUAAAAUACUAGUAAAUAUUGGUGAUCAAAGCAAUAAAAUAAACGCUAAACUGAAGCCAGAGAUUUGUCUUUUAAGCGAGUUUCUUAUACGACCCCUUUUUUUUUUGUACUUUCUAAACAAACAUCACAGCAUCAGUUUCCAAAUUCCAAGUCGUCGUAAACCCUAGAAUAACUUGCGAAUAAGAGAUCCAUAGAACCGUAACGGAGAAAUUAGAGCAAAUAACUAUGAAAAAAAUGGGGAAAAUUAGAAAAAGGGGGGAGAUCGAAGCGAACCACGGAGGAGAGGAAUCGAAACCCCCGCCUCCCCCGAUCUGCUUGAACCAAGCCCUAAGCAUCCAGAGCGCGUAGAGAAUCAUCCCCAUCCCCGUCAACCCGAUCACCGAGUUCACCAGCUUCAGCAGCGAUUGCAAGCAACUCCUCAGCAUCCUCGCCAUGGAUUCCUCCGAGCGGAGCGAGCGCGACGAACCCUAGAUCACAGAACCGGAUCGAGGGAGACGAGAUCGAAGAGGAGAGGAGGUGGGAGGGAUCGGAUCGAAAUGCGUACGGGGAGGUUUUGGAUUUAUCGCGUACUUUGGAUUCCUUGCGAAUGGGGGCGAUAAUUAGAUUCAUAGAGUGGAGAGGUUUUCGAGAGGAAAAGGAUGGGGUAUCUGAUGGGGGUAUGUUUAUGAUUUCUAUGACGAGAGUUUGGCUCAUUCCACUUUCGAUGGUGUGAUAACAUGGUUAAGUUGAGUAUCGCGUACCCCAGAAACUACCACAAUAAGUACCCAAUAAAUAAAGAGAUAGCUUAUAAUUUUUUUAUAUAUUGCUGGUUUGGUUACUAGCAAUAUUAUGAAGUUUUAUUUAGUUCACCAAUUUUAAUUCUAGUUUAAUCGUAUUAAUUAGUAAAAUCUUUUAUUUUUCUUAUUAGAAUAAAAAUGAUAAUUGAUUUAGUUAUAUUCUGAAAAAUAGCAUAGUAGGGACAUUAUAAUUUAUUUUUAUUGCAAAAUUAUAUUAUAAUACAAAUAUCACAUUAUUUUUAGAAUACACCAUUAUAGUUAAAUUAGCAAAACAAAAUAAAUACUAAAUUAGAAAAAAAAAAGAUUUUACUAAAAAUAUCUACUUUUAUUCUGAAAAAUAGCAUAGUAGGGACAUUAUAAUUUAUUUUUAUUGCAAAAUUAUAUUAUAAUACAAAUAUCACAUUAUUUUUAGAAUACACCAUUAUAGUUAAAUUAGCAAAACAAAAUAAAUACUAAAUUAGAAAAAAAAAAAACUCCCUUGUAAAUAUCUACUUUUUAAUUUUUCAUCUCCAACUCUCAAAAAUUUAAAUUCUGCUCCAUUAAAAUUUCAGAAAUAUUUUCAGAAGGUUAUGGCGUUAAUGGAGAGAACAAAAUGACCAAAUUAUCUUUCUUUCUUAUAUAAAAAAAAACAAUUUUUUAAUAUAUUUUUGUAAUUGUGAAGAAUAUUUUUGGUAUACAUUAUAAAAAAUGGAUAGAUGAAACAUUGACGAAUAACGACUAAAUGCAACAAUUUAAAAUAUUGAGGGGAUAAAAAAUAUAGAUUAAAGAAUAUUUAUAAAAAAAAAUUCUGUAAUUUAGCCAAAAAUAAAAUAAAAUUCAACUACUUUUGCAUCAAAUUAUAAUCCAAUGACUUAAAUAUAAUUUUGGUUAAUGAUGUAAUUUAUUUGAAAAAAAAAAUGUUAUCCGCCGUUGGUGACUGGGGAAGUUGCUUGGUAGGCGUAGCCGAGCAAGUUGAGUAAUUACGGUGUAGUCAAAAAACGGGUGGUAGAUGAAGAAAAUGGGUAGAGAGGAAGACUUUGGAUCCUGCGAUGGCUGGUCAGAUAAAAAUUUUGGACUUUUCUCGACCCCUGCAUUCGUUUUGUUGUUGUCUUUGGUGGCUGAUCCGAAAUUUAAAUUUAAAUUUAAAUUUAAACUUGGGAGUUUAGAUUUAAUUGGAGUUUGGAUUUCGGGGUUAUCUCCUUCAAAUUGGAAAUGACUGGAAACUUUGUUAUAUGCAGCUUACGUGGUUUAUUCAAAGUGAUCUCUAAAAUACAGUCGAUUCAACGAUUGGAAUAUAUCUGGGCAUAGGGGUGGCAAUUCAGUUCGCUGUUCGUGAGCCAGCUCGUGUUCGGAUGGAAAUGAGCUCGAGAUCGAAUCACUCAUUUAGUAAACGAGUCGAACAUGAGCUAAAUUUUUUAGCUCGUUUAAUUAAAGAGGCGAACACUAGCUGGGGUCAUCUAGUUCAUGUUCGGCUCGAUAACAGCUCGAAUACAUAUAUUUUAUAUUUAUAUAAUUUAUUUAAUUUAUAUUUUUUAUAUAUAAAUAUAUAAUUAUAUAUAAUAUAUAUUUUUAUUAUUUAAUUUUUAGCAAAAGAAAAUUAUAAAUGCGAGCUUAAUUAUAAAAAGACUCAUUUGUAUGUAAAGUUUCAACUAUUAGAUUAAAGUCUAAUGAAUAAAAUUUUAUAAAUUUAAUUUUUUUAUAUAUAUUCAAUCUAAUUCUUUUUAACUUAUUGUUUGUUGGUCAGCUCGUGAGCCAGUUCGUAUUCGGCUCGUUUAUUAACGAGUGGAACACGAGCUGAAUUUUUGGCUCGAUCCUUUAACGAGCCAACUCGUGUUCGGCUCGUUUAUUAAACGAGCUGAAUAUGAGCCGGCCCUAGCUCGCUCGUGUUCGGCUCUUUUACACCCCUACUCCAUGCAGGAAUACUGGUUUCAGCUCUGCCUUUUCAUUAUUUUUGGGUCAUGCAUGUNAUAAUAUAACGAGAGUUUUAGUUUAACUUUAAUUCAAUUUUUUCGUGACUGCUCGAUUCUCGAAGAUAAAAGAUUGAAAAUAUUCUGCUUUUUUGCAGAUCAUGAGAAAGAAUCACAAGAAAAAAUUGUUGUCUUUAAUAUUUAGAAAAUAAAAAAUUAUGUCAAAGAUACAAUUUUAAUAUUAAAUUUAGAUUUUCUUGGGUUUAUAGUUGAAGUAAAUUUCUUCUAUUUGUUGUUAGUUAUUUAUUCAACUCUCUAUAAUGAAUAAAAGAGUGGAAUUUUUUUCUCUUUUAGUGGAGGUUUCUUUCAUUUUUUGUGAAUCUUUAUCGGAUGGAACAAAAUGUUAGAAAUAAUCGCAGGAACGAAUUUUGAUCAUUAUAGAGAGUUGAAUAAAUAACUAACAACAAAUAGAAGAAAUUUACUUCAACUAUAAACCAACAAAAUGUUAGAAAUAAUCGCAGGAACGAAUUUUGAUCAUUAAUUAUUAAUUUUUUUUAAAAAAAAUUGGAGCGAAGUUUUUUUUUUUUUUAUCCAACGGUAUGCAAGUGCACUGUCGCAUUCAAAUAUUAAAAGGAAUUGCGGAAUUAAAGUUGAGAGCUACUGUUGGUGUACUUUUUAUGGUUCCUUAUUUAAUAUAUAAUAAUUAAAAUAAUAUUUAUGUUGUUGGUCACAUGUGAAUGAGACAAGAAGCAAGGCCCUAAUAUUGCCUAUGGCUAUGGAUAAGGUAUUUAUUUUUAUAAUGAGAUAAUAUUAUGUUAAAAUAAAAUAGGAGUUAGUAAAUUUAAAAUAAGAUAUUCAUUUUGUCAUCCUCUAAAAACUGCAAGCCGUGUUUAUUGAUGUAUACGAAGUAUUUGUGGAAGAUCCAGGAAAACCAAUUAGGCAAAAGAUGAAGCAUAAUAGUAUAGUAGCAUAAUUUUAUAUAUAUAUAUAUAUAUAUAUAGGUAUAGUAUUAUUAUAUAUAAUUGAGCUUUUAUGCUUUAAAACUACAAGUUAUUGGUGCUUGUAGAUUUUUAGCCAUUGGAUUAAAGAUAUGCGGUUAGGAUGAUAUGGGCCCCUAGGUUGAAUGGGUAGUUGGUUGAAUAGUAUAAUUUAAUGGUUGAAAAUGAUCCGAGAAGUAGAUUCUAACGGUAACAACUUACAAACACCAAAGUGCUUGUGCUUUUACAAAUACCAUAGCUGGACUAUAUAUAUAUAUAUAUAUAUAUAUAUAUAUAUAUAUAUAGAGUUGAGCUAGAAUACUCUCGAUAGUAAACGAGCAUUUUACUAUGAGUUGUUUUCGAUGAUAGAGCUUCCAAAUUGACGAUCGGCUCUGUUAAAUAUGAUUUAAACCAUUUAAACUACCUAGAAAUCAAAUUUCACGCACUUUCGAUAUUGUUCUUUUAUCCAUCUAGUGAAACAGAAAAAUGAAUGGUUGAAAAAUAAAUUCUUUAAAAAAUGAUGAUAGGAGUCUUGUAAUCAAGAUCAAAAGUAUAGAUCUUGUUUUAAAUAUUAAAGAAUUUUCUAACAAAAAUCAAUUGAUUUGGAUAUCUUUACACCGUUAAACGAGAAAACGUCUCUUAUUCUCCAUUAAAAUUACAAAUUUUGAAACCCUUUGAUCAUUGCAAUGAUGUCGAAAAAAUUUGAAAUUUGAUUUCUAAACACUUUAAGUGGUAUAGAUCAUGUUCAACGGAGCCGAUCGUCAAUUUGGAAGCUCUUAUCAUCGAAACAACUCGAUAUAAAAUGCCCCGUUUACUAUCGAAGUAUUCUAGCUCAACUCUAUAUAUAUAUAUAUUAUAUAUAUAUAUAUAUAUAUAUAAUAUAUAUAUAAUUAUAGUAUUCUCCUAUACUUUCGAAAGUACGGAGACCUCCGUGCUUGUAAGUUGUUUUCGAUGAUAGGACAUCCGAUUCAACGAUCGCUCCGUUAAGUCUAAUCUACACAUAUUGAACAUCUAGAAACCAAUUUUAUAAUUUUUUGACAUCAUUUAUCAAGCGAUCAAAAGGUCUAAAAAAUACCUAUUUUAACAGCUGAUGUGGCAUGUUUUUAAGUUCAACAGUGUAAAGUAUCCAAAUUAAUAUAAAAUUUAAUAUAAAAUCUACUUAAUAUCAAUACAAGAUCAAUACUUUCGAUUUAAAUUAAAUUUGAGUCAUUUACCACUGUUUUUUAUGAGAUUUUAUUUUCGACCGUUCAUUUUGAGGCUACUCGUUCAAUAGACAAAUGAAGUCAAAAAUUAUGAAAUUUGGUUUCUAGAUAGGUCCAAUACGUAGAUCAAGUUUAACAGAAUCGCACGCCGAUACGGAUGUCCAUCAUCGAAAAUAACUUACAAGCACGAAGGCCCUCCGUACUUUCAAAGCAUAGGAGAAUAUAUAUAUAUAUAUAUAUAUAUAUAUAUAUAUAUAUUAAUAUAUAUAUAUAUAUAUAUAUGGCCGGGGCUACUAUACUCUUAUGAGUAUAAACCUCUUGUACUUAUAAUUUUUAACGACGUUGAUUGAUGGAUGUAUGAUUAGGAUGAUGGUGGUCCCCAUUUAAAAUGAUAGUGAUUUUCUAGAAUUGAGUGAUAGUUGGUUGAAUAAUAUGAUCUAACAGAUGAAUGAUCAGUGGAAUAAAUCAUUUUUUUUUUCACUUGUGACAUUCGGAGGAAAAAUAAAACAUGUUUUAUUAAGAGAUACUGUAAAAGGUUAUAUUAAUUGAUAAGUAUUCAAGAAUAUAAAGUAAAUUAUUGAUAAAAAAGUAAAUAGUAAUAGUAAAAAAUAAUAUUUUAUUUUUUUUGAGAAAUAAAUAGCACGCUACCCGUUUCAUUUAUUUUAUUUAAAAAUAAAUUUAUUUAAAAAUAUAAAAUAAUUAGGUUUUAAAUUUAAAAUUUUAAAUACCAAUCAUCAAAUAUUUUACUACUUAAAAAAUUAGAGACGUGCAGAUGCACCGACGAAUCAAUAAAAGAACCGUCCUACAUUAAACAAUUUUAGAGACGCGCAGGUUCGGAGCAUCACGUUUCAUAACCGAACAAAAAUUAGUAAAUAGUAAGUGGCUGAGGUGUGGAAUGUGGAAUCUAAUGCAUUUCGUGCUUCUUUGUACGUGGCAUUGGCCCACACCAUGUAAUCCCCACUAACUCUCCUGUUUUACUAUUAUUAUUAUUUUCUUUCUUUAUUUUUUUUUUCCAUAUCUAUAUUUGAUAUUGUGUUGUACGAUUAAAAAAAAAAAGUACAUACAUAUGGAAUUUUAGCCUAAUAUUGUAAAUAAACUGCUGCAUAAAGUACUAUAGCUUCGUUUAAGAUUGCAGUAAGAUUACGUUACGUGUGGUGAAAAAGUUCGAUGAAAAAAUAUCUUAUUUGUUUCCGUACGUAAUAUUAUAUUUCGUAUAUCAUCAUGAUGAGCCGAUUAUGAUAUGUUUUCUGUGGUCUCGCCGCAGAAUGUAAAAGCAUAUCUCUAUAUAUUUUUAUUCCAACUUUAUUUUAUCUAAUAGCGCCGGAUAGCCUCAAUACCAAAUUAAGCCUAAAAAAAAAUUGUCAUUUAGGUUUAAUAGCAAAGUAAAUCGCUAGUUUUAAUAUUCUAAGCCAAAUUUUAUUUUAUCAGUUAAAAAUGUAACAUUUAAAAUUUUUAACUUUUAAAAUCAUCUAAUUUGUAGCCUAUAAUAUUUUGAAAAAAUUUACACGCAUCUCAUUUACACCACUGUUGACUCUUCAUGCUUCCAAAAAAUCAUCUUAUUUCAUACACAAAUAAAAGAAAAUCAAAUGAAAAGUUUCCAAGUGGUGUUGGCUUGAGCUAGAAAAAAUAUUUAUAUUGUAUAAAAAAAAAGUUGAGCUGAAAUGUUAUCAGUAGCACUUAAACGGACUUCGUUGCCAUCUAUUUAUUUUCGAUAAUGGAGUAUCCAAAUCGACAAUCGGUACUGUUGAACAUAAUCUAUAUCAUUUGAAGUAUUUAGGAACUAAAUUUCAAAUCUUUUCGACAUCAUUAGUCUAAUAAUCAAAGAAUUUCAAAAAUUAUAAUUUUAAUAGUCUAUAUAAGACGUUUUCACGUUUUAUGGUAUAAAGAUAUUCAAAUCAAUUGAAUUUUGAUUAGAAAAUUUUUUAAACUAUUUAGAACAACAUUUAUAAUCAUCACUUUUUAAAGAAUAUUCAUUUCAGCCGUUCAUUUUUGUACCCACUUGAUAAAUAAGAGAAUAAUAUUGAAAAAAAAAAUGAAAUUCACUUGAUGGACAAAAAAAUAAUAUCCAAAAAAACAUAAAAUUUGGUUUUUAGAUAUGUCGAGUGGUAUAGAUCAUAUUUAACGGUAUCGAUCGUUAAUUUAGAGGCUCUAUCAUUAAAAAAAAAUGAAUGAUAAUGGAGUCUGUCUAUUAUAGAUAGACGAACUUCGUCUAUCUAUCUAUUACUGUAUACCAAAGUUUGUGAACUAACGUUACUAUACUGUCACGUGUUCCCUGGCCGCCUUCGGUGCACUUGGUGCACUAUAGACCACCCUCCCCUCCGCUCUCUCACUAUGUGUGUGUAGGGUUUUAAAAUUGUAUAUUAUAAAGAAAUUUUAAAUUCCAAAUUUGAAAUUUCACAAUAUUUCUAAAUUUUUAAUUUCAAAAAUUAAAAUUUUAAAUUCUUAUUGUAUUUUUUCUCUUGCUUAAUUUUUAUUUAAUUUCAUAUUCAUACAUUUUCUCAUUUCUUUUCAUUUAUCAUCAAGAAAUAUAUAUGCCGCUUUUCUCUUUCUCUUAAUUUAAUUUUAAUUUAAUGCUUUUUUUCUCCAAACAAAAUAUAUGAAUAUUUAAAAUAAUUUUAAACUUGAAUUUAAUAAUUAUAUAUUUUUAAAAAUCUUUAAUUUUUAUUUUUUUACAGUAUAAGUAAAAUAUACUAUAUUUUGAAGUACUCUCUCUUUGACUUUAAUUUUUCAUUUAAUAUCCUCUUCUCUCUUAAAUAAUAAAUAUAAAAAAUUAAUAUUUUUAUUUUUAUUCUAUUAAAUAACUUUAUCAAAUAUAAUAAUAAUAUAAUAAUUAUGAACUUAGCAGCGGUAACACCUAUCCCACAACCUCUCCACAGAUGGGCCCACACCCAACCCCAACCUCUCCCUGCUUCCCCUCCCGGCCACGUGGAUCCCAACUCGGGAUUCGUUAUAUGUAAUAUUGUAAUGUAAUGUAAUAGAAGAUAUUGUAAUGUAAUGUAAUACUAGCGUAGGAACCUGCGCGAUGCGACAGGUAGAAAUAUUUUAGUAAAAUUUACAGUUUACAAACUUAACAAACAAAUAAAAAUAUUAAAAAUAAAAAAAUAUUUAAAAUAUUAUGAAGGGUAAUAAAUAAUAAAAGAAAAACUAAAGAAGCUCAAAUUCAUAUUUAAUUAAUCAUAUAAAAAUAUUUAUCUAUCCUAUUAUUUUUUUAAUUCAAAAUAGAUUUAUCUUAAAAUCAAUUAUUAUUGUUUUAUCUAUAAAAUAUUCAAUUGUCAUGUCAUCAAAAAAUUAAUACGAAAUGUAAAAAAAAAAAAAAAAAAAAAAAAAAAAAAAAAAAAAAAAAAAAGCUUGCCAUGUCAUCAUUUUUAUUGGAGAUUCAUAUAGAGUUCUAUAGAUAUUGUAAUGCAAUUUAAUGAUACGGAGAGAGAAGAAGCGAAGAAGAGCAUGGACCCCCUCAAAUGGCGCCUCCUCCCGAUUCUCGUCCUGCUCGUCUCCUUCCUCGUCCUCCUCCUCCAAAACCCUUCCGAGGUGAUCACCACCCCUCUCCUCCUUCUCCUCCUCCUCCUCUUACUCCCAUUUCCAUGGCGACGAGAUCUUAAUCGUUUGUAAAUUUGGACUUCGCAGUCUUAUUUGAGAUCUUAGAUGAGAUCAUAAUCACCCGAACUAGUGUUUAUUCGAAUCGGAUACAUGAUUUGAAUCGAAUUGUUGAUUCAUUUGUAGAGAUUGGAUAGCGCUUGUAGCCUCCUCCCCUACGAUCAUUACUGGAUUACUAGCAAGCGCAUCGUUACCCCUCGAGGUGUUACUCCGGGCGCAGGUAUAAAUCCGAAAAAUAUUGAGAGGUAGAAGGAUUUUGUGGUAGUGUGGCAUUUUGCGUCUUAUUUUUGGUUUAUGUAGUUCUUAAUUUGAAGAAUUUCCUAUUAUUUUAUUAAAACCCUUGCUAUCGAGGUUAGUGGAGGUGAAAGGAGGGCGGAUUAGUGCCGUGACCGAAGGGGAUUAUCAGCAUUGGGUGCUCUCCAGUAACCGUGUCGUCGAUUACGGCGAAGCGGUUGUCAUGCCCGGUUUGAUUGAUGUGUAAGAUGACUUGUGAUUUUCUUUUUUUCCCUUUUUUUCUUACCAAUCCAUGCUUAUCUUGUUAUGCAAAUAAUCAUUGAGUAUGUCGCGAACUCGCACCAUCAGUCACCAGUGAAAUAAGAGAGAGAAAUCGAUUCUUAUUUAAGAGAGAAUUUUUUUUUUUUUGUUUUCAGGCAUGCACAUCUCGAUGAGCCCGGAAGGGUUGAGUGGGAAGGAUUCUCUACUGGCACUAAGGCAGCAGCAGCAGGUAUAAUGCAAUCCUUCUCUGAUUGCUAAUUUCUCGUUGUCUAACCAGAAAAUACAGAAAAUACAUCAUUAGGGAUGCUAACUGCUUAAUUUGUCUGCCUUCAUAAUGUGUUCGUCUAUUUAUACUGUUGUUCUACAAUCUUUAUAAAGUAGCUUUAAGAUAUUCAGAAAAAUUCGCUAUGAUAGCUUGUUAAGAUUCAAAAAUACGUACAGGAAGCUACAAUAGCUGCUUCUAUGCAGAAUGUCUAAUGAUGGGUAUCACGAGAAAAGAUUUGUAUAUACUAGUAAGAUAAUAAAAUUUAUAAAUCCAAGUUAAAAUUAUAAUGAAGGCAAGCUAUAUCCUUCAUUUCUAGUUCUGUGAAUAUAAUUAUUCUUCUAUUUCAGGUGGCAUAACCACGUUGAUCGACAUGCCCCUUAAUAGUUUUCCUUCGACUGUGUCAGAAGAAACACUCGAGUUAAAGGUCAAGUUGCUUGAUGAAAUAACUCUAUAUUUGUUUACUUGUUUCUUUAUUGGCUGCUAACAGUUAAUCGUCAAUAACAGGUCAAGGCAGCUGAGAAGAAAAUUUAUGUUGAUGUGGGUAUGAUCCUGAACUUGCUGACCUUAAAUAGAUAAUAGUAAUAAUAUCUUUUCAAUAUCUAUCUAUGUGGUCAUGAUUUUUAACUUAUUUUUCUCGAUCAUCGCCUAACUGGCUUCAAAUGUAUUUUGCCAUUUCUUUAGCAGUACCGUACAAUUGAAGCCUUUUUAUUGCUUUAUCCUUUACUAAAAUCAGCAGUUCGAUGUUUCAUUCUCAAUAAUGCUAGCAUCAGAAUAUUAAUUGCACGCAGGAUUCUGGGGUGGCCUGGUACCAGACAACGCGUUUGACACAAUUGCUUUGGACCGUCUUCUUAGGGCUGGUGCACUUGGUCUAAAGGUAUUUAGCUAAAUAAACUCUUUGUGAAUUCUAGAUAUGGCAUCUUGCCAUCUACUGCUAAAUUAACUUUAUUCUGAUGUUUUCCAGUUUGCAUUCUAGAAUAGAAUUUUACUGAUUCUAUUGUGUGUUUUGAAGUCUUUUAUGUGCCCAUCAGGUAUUAAUGAUUUUCCGAUGACAAAUUCAACCCAUAUAAAGGUGAGUUUACUGUUAUCUUCUGAAGUAUGUUUUAAUCUCAGCCAUUUUAGUCUAAUUUAUAAACGCAGGGUUGCAAUGAUAUUCCUAUACUAAGUAGGUGAUAAACCAUACUAAUUAGAUGAUAAGACACUUCAGUUUAUGAUGCAGAAAACUUAAUUCUAACUCAUAGAUUAUACCAAAUUGCUUGGGCUCCAAGAGCGUUGCAGCUCUUAAAUAGAUGAUGAUCUGAGAACAAAAUAUCCUUGCUGUAGUAUUUACUCAUCGUCACAGAAUCUGAAGUUUCUAAGUGAAACCUUCACAUGCAUUUGUUGAUUCAGAUUGUAUUGUGGAACCUUUGUUUUGUUUGUAGGAGGGGUUGAACGUCUUGGCAAAGUACAAGAGGCCCUUGCUUGUCCAUGCUGAGGUUGUCUUGGAUUCUGAGAGCAACACUGAACUUACUUCUGUUGAUAGUUUGGACCCACGAUCCUAUGCCACGUAUCUUAAGACUAGGCCACCGUCAUGGUAAUUUACGACAACUACAUGUCUACUUGACUUAGGUUAUGGAAAGUUAUUUUAAUUUCAUACUUCAUAGCUAGUAGCCACUGCUUUUCAAUUGAUUCCCAUUGUUUCUAAGACCUCUAGAGCUGAUUUAUAAGUCAAAAUGCAACUAGAGGAGAUAUAGAACAUGAACAGAGAGCUUUCAAGCAGCAGGCUGUGAUCAUAGGCAACUUCAGCUCAUGUUCACACAAUCAUACAGCACGAAGAGUUUUUUUUUCCCUUAUAGUGAAUGAUAGAACAAUUAGUAUACCCCCUAUAUUUUCCUUUUCUUGUCUAAUUUUAAUUCCUAGAAACAUAUAACUCAUUAGUUUCUUAUCAGGGAGGAAGCAGCCAUUAAAGAGUUGCAAGCUGCAAUGAAGGAGACAGAGAUUGGCGGUCGUGCUGAAGGAGCUCAUAUCCAUAUUGUCCACUUGUCAGAUGCCGAAACAUCUCUAGAUCUUAUUAAGGUAUUAACUUUAAACUUCUUGCACUGAACAAUGUUUUUCUGGAACAUGGUGUUUCCAAGUUAGUCAACAAAAUCUGCUAGAUUGCCACUACAAGAAAAGGAUAAUAUGUACUUUGAGAGCAGAGUAUACCAACUUAUUAUGAUGAAUAUAUAAUUCUGGCAUCUAACAGUCGUAUUGAUCACUUUUUUAAAUAGGGAUUGUGCUUUUACAUAUCUCCUUUAGAAUAAUCAUGCAACGGUUGUUUCUGCUUGAUACGUGCACAGAACUGUAAAUAGUGGAUGCAAACUCUCGAAUGGUGAAAGUUCUGUUCCCUCUGCUGUAUAUCUUUUUCAGACAGCUAAAAUAGUGGAUGCAAACUCUAAUGGGAGUCGGUUCUCUAAGUACGAGAAAACUAAUCGUAAGGAUCACUAGGAUUCAGCAAGUUGGUUUCUUAUAUUAUUAAUUCCUACAUGUUUCUUUACCUUUUCCCUUAUACGUGCUACUAUGGGCAUAUUGCAUAUUUUUAACUACUUAACAAUAUUCAUUCUUUUUGUUUUAUUAUGAUCCUUCUAGUGCAAUUCAUAACUUACACCGUGAUAUACUUUUGCAACCUAAAGGAUGCAAAAAGCAGAGGUGCUAGUGUAACCGUGGAGACCUGUCCCCAUUACCUGGCUUUUGCAGCUGAAGAAAUUCCAGAUGGGGAUACUCGUUUUAAAUGUGCUCCACCUAUACGCGAUGCAGCUAAUAGGCAGCAAUUAUGGGAAGCUUUGCUGGUAUUGCUGCUUUUCUAGUGCACUUUUUGUCAUUACUCUUUUUUUUUUUUUUUUAAAUCCUGUGAUAUGAUGUGUUAUAUUAUUCAGGAGGGGCAUAUUGAUAUGUUGAGUUCCGAUCAUUCACCGUCGGUACCAGAUCUAAAACUCUUUGAUGAAGGCGACUUUCUGAGAGCGUGGGGUGGCAUAUCAUCUUUGCAGGUGUAGUGUACUGAAUUUCAGUAUACUUUGCCGAAUUUUGGCCAAAUUGGGCAAAGUACGGAUAAAAUGGUGUUUUACGCCUUGGGCGGAUAGAAAAAACUCUAUCCGUUCGGCGGGUUUGUGCACGCACCCGCAAGGGCUUCUGCUAUGGGAUAAGGCGGGGCGUGACAGCAGGUCUGUGUGCAUAUGAAGGGUAUGAGAAUGGGAAUAAUACUUUUGCUUGGACAGACUGAAAGUCUUGUCACUUUGAAUUCAACUGGCCAGCAUUUUCCAAAGAUAGAUGCCUGAACGUAUAGGAGAGUUCGAAUUGGAUGUCAUAAUUUACAUUUUACAAGUCAAAUAAAUCCUCCUUGAUGCUUAUCUUCUGCUCAUCUUUUUCCAAGUUACAUAGACUAACUGCUAUGAGUGAUUACAUGGCAUUCUUACUAUCACUGCUGUUGAUUAUUAUUAUACACUUUGUUAAGUUUGUAUUGAAGGCUUAUGGGCUUGAGCUGGAUGUUUGCAGUUUGUUCUCCCUGUAACAUGGUCUUAUGGACAGAAAUUUGGAAUUACUUUGAGUCAAUUAGUUUUGUGGUGGAGCGAAAGGCCAGCUAAACUUGCAGGCCAACAACACAAGGUAGAGUAUCCAGAAUUAGGAUCUCCAUUUACACAAAUUAGUGCCUUUUUCCAUGGACUCAAAACUGUAACUUAAAGUUGCAAUCGACUAAUAGAGGAUUUCUUCGACAAUAAGAAUGCAUCUCGUGGAGCACUUCAUUCGCAAAAUCUUCAGAUACAAAUACAGUGCAUUGUUGUGUACAUACACGACUGUGCUCAUACUGUGCUCACAUGUGAGAGAGUCCGAAGUAUAAAAGAUACAUUCUUCAUAUCCAUGGCAUAUUUGAACAUUUAUCGUUUCUCUAUGGAGUGAUAUGCAUUGAUAUGAUUACUGGAUGGAAAAGAUAUGCACGGCAAAAUAGGUUGUGGGCAUGAUAUUCUUUAAUUUUCUUCUUUCAUGCCCUAUGGAGUCAAAAUAUGACCAACCAAUGAGAGGUUGGCUACCGUAUAUUAUCUUGCCAUCUCUUUCUAAUGCCGACUCUCAUUCUUUGACAGGGAGCCAUCAUACCAGGGAACGAUGCUGAUUUUGUUGUGUGGAAACCUGAUGUGGAGUUUGACCUCAACGAAAACCAUACUAUAUACCAUAAACAUCCAGUUUGUUUUUCAUUAUUUACAUAUUUCUCGAAAUAUGCUCCAAAAAAAGAAAAUUGCUUUAAAGUAAUCCUUGAAAAGGAAACAGAGUUAUGUGGACAAUUUAUUUGAAAAAUUCGUCAGCUUAAAUAGUUUACUUUCACAUAUGCAUGAACUCACUCCUGUUCUUGGUACAGAAUAUUUCUGCAUACGUUGGCAAAAGGUUAUCUGGAAAGGUGUUGGCAACUUUUGUAAGAGGGAAUCUUGUAUAUACCGAAGGAAAGCAUGCCCCAGCAGCAUGUGGUGUUCCGAUCCUUGCUAAGUGAAAAAACAGAUUGGUAAGCCAUGCCAAUUAUUAUCUGCAUCUAUACACUGCAAUUCUAAAUCUAAUAAAAAAAAAAGCGUCAAUAUCGUCUUUCUUUUCUGAUGAGUGCCUGCAGUCACGGUUUUGAAUUUGCUGUUUGUAGGUGGUCAGCUCUUGUAAAUGAAGCAUCCUUUGUCGGCGGGGAACUCUGAACCUAUAAAUCAUUGUGCCGCUUUUCAUGGCAGUUUAGUCGCUUGUAUUAUUCAACUUGCAUUCUACCAUUUUUCAGUAAUAUUGUGUGGAUUACACUCAGAAAACCUUCAAAUAGCCACUAAUCUCAUGCAAGCAUUGCCAAAACAUGAAGAAAAGUUUGAUAAAUAUCUAUUGUUAUUGCCAAAAUUAUUGAUCGAUUGAUUUGUAUCGCAGCGAAGAUUCCAUGUUUCCAAAAGAAUAACGUCUAUGUAGUGUUGAAACAUGGGAUUUUCAAAGGAUGCUUUUGCUGUUGUUGACGACACUCUGCAAAGAGAAAUGCUGCUGUUACUGCUAAUCUUUCUUUCCGUCUCACCUUUUAUUUAUUUAUUUAUUUAUUUUUUUUGAGAGAUAGGUAAUAUGCUAUCCUCUUCGUUUAUUUCAUUUAUAAAUAAACUUAGCUGGAAAUGUGAAUCAAUCAGGAUUCGAACUUGGGUCUUGGAUACCAACUACCAAGCCCAAGCCCAAGCCCUUUGCCGCUUCGUUUAUUUUAUUUAUUUAUUAUUUUUUCCGACAAUGUUUGGAGGACUCUUACGUAUUGCAGCUAUAGUUUUUUAAUCACAAAUACUUAAAAGAGGAGCCACCAAAUCAAACAAGAUCCUUCGAAAUCGCCCUGCGAGAGCCGGACCUUGAACAUCUCUCUGUGUACCUCAUUUACAUCCUCCAAAAGAAUAAUAUAUCAAAUUGCUUUGAAAAAACUACAUCCCCAUUCCCAUUAUCGUAACUCACCUUAAAAACCUCUUAUUUAAUAGUUUUAAUUUCUGAACUUUUUAAUUUAUUUCAAUUUUAUUCCUAGCUAUUAAGUGUAGUAAUUUUUUUUUAAUAUAAAUUAAUAUUUUUUUAGAAUUGUGCUAGUCCUACGAUACAAGUGGGAUAUUCGUCUUUCCCUCCAAACGAACGGAUAAGGCAACGGUAGCUAUUUGUAUGUAUACAGCAGGAAAAGAGUCCUUCCUCAUGGGAGCCUCUCACUGCUUCCUCCUCCCAAGAGGAAAAACCCCGACUCUCCUCUCCUCCAUCGACGCCAUACCCAUCUCCACCUCCCCCGAACCUGGGGUUUCAACCCGCAUCGUCCUCUCUAGGGUUAGCUUUUCAAAGCUCUUUCGGGAGAAACCCCGCGCCCUCCGCCUUAAAGCUAGGGCUACUGUGACACGAAUCCCGGAGACCGCCGACUCUAGGGUUUCCGAGGAGCUCAGGAGGGAGACGGAGGAGUCCCUGCAAUGGCGCUCCGUGUGCUCCCAGGUCGCCGCGUUCGCCUCCACCAGCGCGGGGCGCGCCAUGUGCGAGAGCGGGGAGCUCCCGGUCGGAGCAGACCGGGAGGAGAGUGAGAGGCUCUUGGACCAGACGGCUGCCGCCGUGCUGCUUCCGGAGCCGUUGGAUUUCUCCGGUGUUGAUGAUGUGUCGGAGAUCGUGAGGUCGGCGGUGGCUGGGGAGUUGCUCACCGUCCGGGAGCUUUGCGCCGUCGAGCGGAGCCUUCGGGCCGCAGGAAGGGUUUUUGAGCAGCUGAAGCAAGUUUCCGGCGAUUCCGACAGGUGAUGUGCUCGUAAUUUGGUUCUUAAAACUCCUUGAUUUGAAGCUGCAGUUUGUUUUUUUAUGUGAAUAUAUUGAACUGUAACAUUUGUAGGCCAUAAUUUAACUGUAUUAGUAGAGACAGAGAAAAAAUUAUGAGUUUUUUUUUUUCUCUCUCUAAAGGUAUCUUAAAAAUUGCAAAAAGAUUCUCUUUUGAUUUGCUUUUAUUGUCAUACUUUUAGGUUUUGAAUACAAGAUUGAACCAAUUUUAUACAAACUUUUGUUAAUUCUCAUUCUAGCAGGCACUCUCCUCUUCUUUGCAUAUUUCAAGAUUGUUAUUUUCUGACAGAACAGGCUCAGAAUAUAGAAUUUUGUGUUGAUUGUACUCUCUCUAUAGUUCUCGAUCGGGCCAGUAAGAAGUUGGCGUCAAUAAGGAUGGAUAGGAAGCUAAACAUGGAGAAACUGGAUUCUCUAUUGAAAGAGGUGUCGAUUAGGGUUUUCCAGGCCGGCGGUAUCGAUAGCCCAUUGAUCACUAAGCGCCGGUCUAGAAUGUGUGUUGGUGUUAAAGCUUCGCACAAAUCUCUUCUUCCUGAGGGAAUUGUUUUGAGUUCCAGCAGCUCGGGCAUGACGUACUUCAUGGAGCCAAGAGAUGCGGUUGACCUGAACAACAUGGAAGUGAAGCUCUUGAGUGAUGAGAAAGCUGAGGAGAUUGCUAUUUUGGGCUUUCUAACCUCACAAAUAGCUGGCUCGGAAGGAGAGAUUAAGCAUUUGAUGAACAAGAUUGUAGAGUUGGACCUUGCUUCUGCUAGAGGUGCAUAUUCUUUGUGGAUUCAUGGUGUGCGGCCGACUUUUACGAGGGAAAAUGAGAAUUUGUCAGUUGAUAUUGAAGGUAUUCAGCAUCCUGUGCUCCUUGAACCUUCCCUCAAAAGGCUGAAAAUGGUAAAAUCAAGUGAAACAGUGGAAGAUUCUUCAGAAUUUCCCAUUGGGGAACCUCCUGUUCCCCUGGAUAUAAAAAUAGGGCAUGCCACAAAGGUGGUCGUCAUCUCUGGACCUAAUACUGGAGGGAAAACUGCUACUAUGAAAACCUUGGGCUUGGCCUCUCUUAUGUCAAAGGCUGGACUUUUUUUGCCUGCUAAGUCUACGCCCUCACUUCCAUGGUUUGGUCAGGUUCUUGCUGAUAUUGGUGAUCACCAGGUAGUUGUUGCUGAUAUUCUUUUGUAUUUUGGUGAUCAAAUUUGAUUUGUUGAUGAAAUUCUUCUUUUUUCUUGAUUCAAGUCCUUGGAGCAUAGCCUCUCUACCUUUAGUGGGCACAUUUCACGACUCCGCAAAAUAAUCAACGUUGUUUCGAAAGAAUCGCUUGUUCUGGUUGAUGAGAUUGGCAGCGGCACAGACCCUUCAGAAGGUGUGGCUCUUUCCACCAGCAUUUUGCAGUAUCUUUGUGAUCGCGUUGGUCUAGCCAUUGUGACUACUCAUUAUGCUGAUUUGAGUCGUCUUAAAGCUGUUGAUUCUCGGUUUGAGAAUGCUGCAAUGGAGUUUUGUACGGAAACCUUGCAGCCUACGUAUAGAAUAUUGUGGGGGAGUACUGGUAGUUCUAAUGCUCUGAGUGUUGCUAAGUCAAUUGGGUUUGAUCAGAAAGUGCUUGACCGCGCACAAGAAUGGGUUGAGAUGCUAAUGCCUGAUAAACAAAAGGAACGGCAGGGUUUGCUGUAUCAGUCUCUGUUGGAAGAAAGGAGCCGCCUAGAAUAUCAAGCAAAAAAAGCUGCUUCUGUUCUUUCAGAUGUUAAGAAACUUUAUUUCGAGGUAUUCUUUUCAGCACGACGGAUCACUGUGUUCGUCACAGCAUGCAUGUUCAUUUCAUUGACGUCUCAAGGUCAUGUGGUGCUUUCUACAUCUGCAUUCUCUAAAAAUUGAAUACAGAACAUGAUAAUGGAACUAAUGUCUGGUUUGCUGCAUUAUUUUUUUCUCUUUAAUAAUCUCAUUAUUUUUCAAGAUAUGUUUAUGAGCUAAAUACUCGUGCUAGGCAUGCCUCUCUACUUAGAUAACUAAGAUCUGGAGAGCGGUUGCAAAAUGAAAAUUCCAUAAUUAUGUGCCAGUGAAGCUAGUUAUCGUUAGCCCAACUCUUUCAUACUAUAUUUGUUCGAGUUUUGGCUCUUUAUUGGCUAUAGUUGCCUGUGAAUUUUGAUAUUAAUUUCCUAAAUUAUUUAUUUAUGGGAAUAUAUUGAUUUUAUUAUCAUGCUGUUACUGCUCUGUUAGAUUCAUUCUGAGGCUGAGGAUCUUGAUAAGCGGGAGGUGGCCCUAAAGGCGAAAGAAACUCAAUUAAUACAACAGGAACUAAAGGUUGUGAAGUCUCAAAUGGACUCCAUAGUAAAGAACUUUGAGAAUCGACUCCAGAAUGCAACUCCUGAUCAAUUUAAUUCAAUAAUGAGAGAAGCAGAAGCGGCUAUUGCCUCUUUGGUUGCAGCUCGCACUCCAACAGAUGAUAUGUUUGAUGAAGGAACAGAGAAUCAGAAUUCCUAUGUCCCUCAAAUUGGAGAUAAAGUAUAUGUUAAAGGAUUAGGAGGUAAGUUGGCUACAGUCGUUGAAGAACCUGGAGAAGAUGGUGUUACUAUGGUUCGGUAUGGAAAAAUAAAGGUUCGUGUGAAGAAAAAUGACAUGAAAUUGUUCCAAAGAACCAUGAAGGAUAUGGCAGUGACUACAUCUCGACUUAUAAAAGCACAGGUUUGUAUACAACAAUUUUAUAUCCAUCAUCAUCUGAUUUAUUUACCAAUUUCCAUGCUUCGUGAAGUCUAGUUCAAUUUUCUGUGCAACAUGUGCGUUAUUCCACGCUACUCAACUUGUCUAGCUACCAAGCUACCUACUGCAAAUAAUCUUCAAUAAUUGAUAAAUGGAUCUUUUCGAAAUUUAGUCACCGUUGGUUUUAGUAUCAUCAUCUGAAUUUUGUAAAAUUUAGCUUCAUUUCAAUUUCAUUCCUGGAAAAGUUUCAAGUGGAAAGAUUUGGUUCUGGUGUUUCCUAUAUUUAUACUCAGCAUUUAUCUAUGUAUAUGCAUUUAGAAGCCAAAUACAUUUAAAUCAGUGAUACUGGUUGAGAAGUGUGCCUAAUUUGAAUAUAUUGCUUAUAAUUUCUUCUUACUUUUGCUUGCUUUAGGAGCAAAAGAAGUAUCCGAGGAGACCAUCCAUGGAGGCAAAGGAAAAUGAAGAGGAGGCUUCUUUCGGGCCGGCCGUGCGGACAUCGAAGAACACAGUCGAUCUGCGGGGCAUGCGGGUCGAAGAAGCAUCACAUCACCUUCAAAUGGCGAUAUCGGGGAGCAGAUCUCGCCAGGUUCUCUUUGUUGUUCAUGGGAUGGGUAGCGGCGCCGUGAAGGCGAGUGCCCUAAACAUUCUUCGAAAUCAUCCUCGAGUGGCCAAGUUUGAAGAGGAAAGCCCCAUGAACUACGGGUGCACCAUUGCUUAUAUCAAAUGAUUAUUCUUUCAUUUGAUUUUACUUUUUUCUUUUGUUUCUCAAAUCAAUACCUACAAUGUCAAGAUGUGUAUUCUAGCCAUUUCGAUUUUCAGGUGUAAAAAGAUUGCAGCUGGAGAUUUAGAUUUAUCUCGUUCAGCAGAUCCGGGCCAUCAUACGAUAGAGCAUAAAAAUUUGCAUCUGUGCCUUCUAAGUAGUCCAUACCAUAAUUGCAUUUAUGCCCUCCAAGUGGGAUCAUUUUCAUAGUAAACAUUCAGAGCCUGCUUGUUUCCGUGAUUCGUGGUCGUCGAUCAUGUUCUUCCUAAACUCUCAAUUUCUUAGGAAAGAUCAAAGCCCCAUCAUUUUUAGUGCAGUACAACUUUUUUUUUUUUUUUUUCCUUUUGUAAAUACAAAUGGAUGUGGUUUUAGGGGUAUAAUAGAAACAAAAUCUUUCUUAUUUAUCUGGAAGCUCGUUUUGUUUUGUCAGUUGUAAACGUAAAACCACUUUCUAUUCUAUCCUAUUCUUGAAAUUACAUUACAGCUGGCGAUUAUUACAUUAUAUAUGAUCAUAAUUCGUCGCCAGUAAAAGAUACGACGGUUGCUUCUUUUUCCACUCUGUUUCCACCCAAUUCCACCGCGAUCUCCACCGCACAAAUGCAAACCAAACCCCCCAAAUCGCCCGCCACGUGUCCCUUCCGUUUCCCUCUAAAUCGCGCCAAAAGCGGGAGACCCCCUCUUAAAAAGGGGCGAACCCCCCCCUCUCUCUCUCUCUCAUUUGAAAAGAGGAAUCGAUCGAAGCGAGGGGAGAGAGAGAGAGAGAGAGAGAGAGAGCGCUUUAGCCCUAACCCUAACCCUAGGGGGAGCUUGGUUAGGGAACGAUGGGGGACUUGGAGAAGCAGUUGAAGGAGAAGGCGAAGGAGUUGAAGAAGCUGCUGAAGAAGGGGAUGAAGGUGGUGGGCCCGCCGUGCAAGAGGGGGAUGAAGGUGGUGGGGGCUUCGUGCAAGAAGGGCUGGUACAAGGUUCGCAAACACCUCAAAGCCUAAAGAGAUUUAUUUUUAUAUUUAUUCUUAUUUUUAUUUAGGAUUCUCUCUCUCUCAUUUGUGUUUCUCUCUCUCUCUCUCUCUCUCUCGCACAAACUCUCAAUCUCGAUGUAUUGAUCUCUUUCUCCGAUUUGAUAUACUGGGAUUUUUUGUGAUGGGUGUUUCUUUGUCGGAGAUUGGAUCGUGGUUCAUUGCUAGUUAAUUGGUUUACUAAUUUUAGAAUCUUAUCGACAUUAUAACUUCUCUGUUAUUAUGAUUUUAUUUUUCGGUUAGAAACUUAGAAUUAGAGAUGUGAUGGUUUCUAUAUUCAAAUACAAAUAUGUUAUCUCCUGGAUUUUUUUUUUUAUUAUUAUUACUCCAUUGUUUUCAUGGAUUAAUUAUUGCAUGCACCAGGUGCACCAGGUUGGUUGCCCAAUACGAGCUGUAUCUAUAGUUAUUGAUGUUUGAAAAUACACAAUUAAUACCGACCGCACCCAACUCAGUUUGCUAAGAAUUUGAUAGACGGUACUUAAAAUUUUAAAUUUAAAGUUUAAUUAGUUUAUAUUUCUAACUAAGUUUAUUUUUUAAAAAAUAUAAACGAAGCGAAUUGAUUACUACAUUUCUGCAGUAAUCAAAGGGUUGAAGAUAUUAAAAAAUUCAUAAUUUAACAUGUUUGAAGAUAAUGGUUUAGCAUGAAUCUUCCCGAUCCAUAAAAGAAAUGAUACCCAAAAGUUAUAAUUUUUGUGUAUAAGACUAUUUGAAUACCGUAAAUUAUAUAAGAUGAUAUAAAAUGGAGUAGUUUUUUUUUUUUUUAUUCCGAGUACUUGAGAUUGUGGUUUUAGGGAUGCCGUGUAUGUGGAAAAUAAUCUCCCACAUUAGUGGCUGUUAUGAGUGAGUGGUUGGUGGAUUUAUCAUUGCAAAGGCAUCACAUUCCCUUCGAAUCAAGUUCCCUAAGUGGGUCAAAAGGGGGGGAAAAAAGAGCCAAUUAUUCAUCUAUAUCUUUUCAACAAAAGGAAUCAUUCAUUCCCAUUUCCAUUCCGAUUCUGGUCUACUUCGAAUUCAUUUUCUCCUUCUCCCCUGCGGUGAACUAAACAUGCCCUAAUUGGUGGUUAAUUGAUUCACGACUACGUGAAGAGAUACUGCAAAUUCGGUUUAAGACAAGUACAAUUAUGCAGUAAACUUUUGAUCAAGAAAAUAGCAAAAGAACCGACCGUCUCUAGAGCAAGUGACAAAGGACAAGGGCUUGGUGGUUGGUACUCGAGGCCCAAGUUCGAAUCCUAGUUGAUUCACAUUUCUAGCUAAGUUUAUUUCUAAAUAAAAUAAACAAAGCAGGUAGCAUGCUAUCUAUCUCUUAAAAAAAAAAAAAAAAAAAAGAAAAGAAAAAAAGAUAAUAGCAAAGGAGAAGGGGUUCACGUGUGUCACCUCAUUUGUAUAAUAAUAUUGAGGAAAAAUUUUAGAAUGCAACGGGUAUAUUAGUGAUGUGGCGUAACAAACCAAUCAAAUAUCUCCUUUUAAGAGUAUAUGUCCCAUCAUGAUUAUAAAAAAAUAUUUUUAUUAUACUUUUGUUUGAAAAGAAGAAAUGUGAUUGACUUGUUAUUGAUGACGUGGUGCAAGUGUGACAGCAUAGAAUUCCUCAAUAUUGAGGCACAUCUAUUCUCAUUUCAUGUGUUCAUGUUGGAAUAACUUAUAUUGCUGAAGAGCACACACUAGCAGUGUGAGAAAACCAGUGCAUCAUUAGCUUUUCCUUAUCUAAUACACAGCAUAUGGAAGAAAAUGCAUUAACAUACUAAAUCCCAUCACAAAAAAACUGAUAAUACUGCUGAAAAAAAGCAAAAACUAAGGGACAAAAAAAAAAAAAAAAAAAAAAAUUGAGGCCAAGCACAGGAGGGCGAAUAGAUUUGGAUUGUGAUGAGCAUCAGAAAAACGAGUCGUCUCACGAUCCUUGGGUUAGUCUCUGCAUUUCGCCUUGGCUAUCCAGUGUUUCCAUGAGAAGCGGAGGUGCGUAUUGGGCAUUUCCUUGAUGUUCUUCCGCAUCUUGGCAGAAAGAGAGGAUGAUGGUGUCGAUCGACAUCUCCACAACCGCGAAGAAUAGGGUUGCAACUAUGUAACCGAGAGCCCACGAUACCUGCACAACCAUGGAAAAGAAGUUAGUUUCUGAAUGUAAAUGAACAACUACUCUUUCUUUUCGUUCCGAGAUAAUGGACUUUCGGAACUAUUCUCUCUUCAUAUAUGCAUCAUCCAAAAUUAUAUAUGGUUUCACUCGCUCAAUUAAACGAAACAGAAAAGUCGUUAUCAUAAUUUGAAGCAUUUACGUGAAGCGCACGAAACACCAGAUGAUAGUGCAAAACCUAGCAAUGGUUUAGAAAAAUGAGUCCAUUACGAGUAAACGACAAGCAACGACUAGUCCUCGAAUCCAAAGAAAGGUCACCGAUUUUGGAGUCCCUUUCAGCAGAUGUCGUGUUCUCUUGAGAAACAGGUAGACUAAUAAUAUCCGACAAAGGAGAAAAACAAUAUACUACUUCGAAUAUGCGAGAGAUUAACUGCAACAGCGUUAAGGAACAUACCAGAACAGGAAAGAGAGGAGAAGAGAUCUUGUUGUGCGCAGAUUUGUAUUUGUGAGUGUCCAACAUAAGAAACGCGAAGAGCGCACAGAAGAGGCUGACGCACAGCUUCCCAAGAAAGAGAAUAACAUCCCCGAUGACAUUCACCUUUCCGAUCCGCAAAAUAUUAUUCAUUAUCAAUCCCGUUGCAAUUGCAGAAGCUUUGCAGAAACCUUUCCCAGUGAUUGCUAUCUACAGCACCAAAAGUAAUAGAAAAAGAAACAAAUUAGCUGUGGAUUGUUCAGGACUUCAAAUUAUCAUUUAUGGGAAAAAUCACUGUAGUUCAUUUUUGUUCAAAAGAACAAAAAAAAAAAUCAGAAGUUUAUGUUACAUAAUACCCAAAAUUAUAUUCAGAUACUUACCAUAAUAUAAGCAUUCCGAUUCACGGAUUUGAUGGUCCAAUCUAUGCACCCUAGGCAACACUGAGAAGAAGAGGACAUUGUUCUCCCCAUGCAGCUUUCAGAAACAGUAUCAACGUGCUUCAACCUGCGGCGAAGAGACUCGAGUAUAAACCGCACCCACUCCACAAUUGACACCACCAGUGACCCAAGAGCAACGGACCCAAGACUGUAUCGCAGGAGACGCUUUACGGAAGAGAAUACAGGGAGAAAUGGAAUCUCCUCCUGUAUAGAACAUAAUUCAAGUCAUUCUCCCACAAAGGAAAACAGAGCCUUUGAAAAGGCAAAAUGGAAGAGUUGGAAUUUUAAAGUUAAGCACGCAACAGCUAAACAUUUUAGCAAUACCUUUUUCUCUUAAAUAUUAUCUAGAAAUGCAAAUCAAUUAAUUGCUUUUAAUGUGUUUCAAUAGUUGCUUCUGAUAAAAAAAAUCCUGUGGUUUUGGAGAUAUAUGGAUUCACAUCUACAUACCACUGUACAAUUUAUUCUCCCCGAACAUUGUCAAUACAAGCAUGAAAAACUAAUAGCAUAGAAUACAGGGAGAAAGACUCUCUGUUAACCUAACUAUUGUUGAAACUUGAAAAAAGUAAAUAUGAAAAGAACAGAUAAUGGGCUACAUCCUGCUAGUCACACACAUUGACUUUUUUGUAGAUAUAUAACAU
This 72296-nucleotide long non-coding RNA is filed under the name Ananas comosus (pineapple). RNAcentral describes it as "long non-coding RNA (ACOM_LNC033954)". Lineage: Eukaryota; Viridiplantae; Streptophyta; Magnoliopsida; Poales; Bromeliaceae. The record is from RNAcentral.